This 59655-nucleotide long non-coding RNA is filed under the name Durio zibethinus. RNAcentral's name for it is "long non-coding RNA (DZIB_LNC001027)". The record is from RNAcentral. Lineage: Eukaryota; Viridiplantae; Streptophyta; Magnoliopsida; Malvales; Malvaceae.
UGACGAAAACAUUUUCUUUUUGUUGUUUUUUGUUUCGUAGAACCUGACUAUUUAUUUUUUCUUUACAAGGUGGCUUGGGCGCUGUUGGUUCCUGGGGCUGGGUUGCACGGGUGUGCCUGUGACGGUGUCUGUCCGAGACUGGUUGGGAUUUUGGUGAGGGUGCAAUUUGGUGCUUGAUGUUGGUGCGAAUGAAGGGUGCCGAGGGCUCUGGGGGUAUCUUCGCUGGGUGUCCGGGGCCUGGGAUUGUGCCUCUCGUGCUGCAGGGUUGUGUGGCUUUUCUGGUUUGUUGUUGGGAGCCUAGGACUAGGUGGAAGGAUGACGGGGGCUGGAACCCAUUUGAAAGGCUGGGGCUGUCGCGGGUGCCUGGGCGAGGCUUUGGCUGGGUGGAAGGCCGAGUCUUCUGGUGUAGUGCCUGGAGCGCGCUGGUGCCCCGAGGAAAGCCUGGUGCGUGGCUUUGGCGUGCACGAGGGUUGGCCAGUGCUCUAAUUUGAUGCCUGGUGGUAAGGUCUGUUCUCUGAAGGGGCUGGUGUUGGGGUGUUUUUUGUGAGGACUAGGGAAUGGGUGCUCAGGGGCAAGUGUGGGUCUUGGCAGCGGGUGGGUUUUGGCAGCGCAUGGCACCACUGUCUUUUUUUUUUUUUUUUGAUUAAUUAAUUAUUAUCAUAUUAUUAUUUAAUAUUAUUGCAUUUUAAUAUUUAAUUAUAAAAUAAAAAUAGAGAGCCAAUUUGAUUUAUCCGAAAAUUUUGGACAUAAUUUAAUGUCUACAUUAAUAAUUUAAGUUAUAUAAAUUUUAAAAAUAAAAUUUUAAUUAAUAAAUAAAUUAUUUUAUUUUAAUUUUUACACAUAUCAAAUAUAAAAUAAAAUAAUAUUAUUUAAUAUAAUAUUAUUUAUAAUAUUAUUUUAUUUUAUCUAAUUAUAAUUUUUUAACCAAAAAUAUCCAUAAUCUAUAAAAUAUUCCAAAUAAAUAUGAAGAAAUCUUGUUUUAUUAAAAUUUGUCGUACCAAUUGUUAGAAAGGAGUAUUUUUUUUUUUUUUUUACAAACAUUAAUUCCUUGUAUUUUCUCCCCAAUUAUUAAAGGAGCAUAGACAUAGACAAUAAAUAUUGACUACACGAAUCAUAUGUUGUAAGAAAAGGGUUAAUUUUGUGUGCAUACCGACAGUAGGAAGGAAAUGGAAAGGACAAGGGAAAGGAAAUUUGUUGAUUUUGUUUUUUUCAUACGUGACCGCUACGUUUGGAGGGAUAAUGCCGUCUUGACUGUACCCAAGUAAUAACAUGUUUGGUUGGGUAGAUUGAAAUGAGAAAGAAUUACAUAAAAGUUUUUAAGUAAAAUUUAUAAAGUAUUUUACUAAUUAAAAAUGAUUUAAUAAAAUUUAAAAUUUAAAGCAAAAAUUGAAUUACAUAAAUUAAGUGUGUAAAUUUAAAAUUUUUUAAUAAUUUUAAUUGAUAUAUUUUUAGAUAAUUAUUUUUAGUAAAAUUUAUGAAAUUUUUUAUUAAUUAAAAAUGAUUAAAUAAAUUUUAAAAUUUAAAACAGGAAUCGAAUUACAUAUUUUGAAAAAAUUUAAAUAAAUUUAUUUGAUAUAUUUUUAGAUAAUUAUUUUUAAUAAAAAUUUUGAUAGAAUUUUAUUAUAGAAUAAGUAUUAAUUAAUUUGAAUUAUAAAUGAUAUUUUUAAUAGUUUUUUUUAUAUAUUAUUGACUUUUUAUUGAAUUCUAUUAAAUUAUUUAUUUAAAUUUUUAUUAAAAUUUUAAUUGAAUUGUUUUUAUUAAGAACUUCACUUACUUUAUUUAGAAAGCUUCAUCUCUAAGUUUUGUCGGAUUGAAACCAUUUCCUUACUUAUUUCAUGGUGUGCAUGGAUGCAAUAUUUAUUUUAUUUUUUUUUUUUAAAGAAAAAGAACCGUAAGUAGCUCAUUUUAAUUAGUUGUUUGGCACAUUAAUUAAAAAAUAUUCUUAUUAUUUAUAAUUAAAUCUAGCUUGUAACAUAUUAAGAUUUCUUCAUUAAUUAUAUAAAAGAUAUCCUCAUUAAGUAAUUAAUCCACAAAAAGUCCCAAUUUACAAUAAUUUUAUUCAAAAAUAUUUAUGCUUAUUAAGUUGGCAUAUUACUAUCCUAUUUUCGGACCGAUCAUUUUUAUAUAUUUCGGUCCAAAAAAAUUAUGGCCUCGUGAUUUGAAUAAUAAUUAAAUUAAAUCUUAUAUAGCAAAACAAAUAAAAACCCAAAAUUUAGUUUUAAAAAAAUUAGAAUAAUUUUUGUUGACAAAAAAAUUAUUAGAUUAAUUUGAUACGUCAAAUUAAUUAUUAGCUUUAGUUAUAAUAUAAGCUUUUGGCAAUCAAUUCAUCAUUAUCAAAUAAAAAAAAAAGUGGCAAGAUUUCAAUUUUGAUAACUUUUUUUUUUGUAAGAAAAAAUUUAGAAAUAGAUAGAUUACUCAAUUUCUUAUGUUAAAAUAAUAUAUGUGAUAUCUGAUAAAUUAAGAUAAAUGACUGUAAGUCAUGUAUUAAAAAUAAUUCAUACAAAAAAUUAUCGACAUGAUUCAAAUCUAAAAUUUUUUCGUUGAAAAAAACGAUUUUAACCAAUUAAACUUAUUAUUUGUUGGUUUGAUAACUUUAAAUAAAUAUAUAUAUAUAUAUAUGUAUAAGGAAAUAAUAAUAUAGUGGGAGAGUAACAAGGCAUUUUUUUUUCUUUUAUUCCAAAAAUACUAUAUUAGCUUAAUUUGCAAAACGAAUGAGUAUAUAGAAUGAACGAUUUUAUCAGAAAAAAAAAAUGAUUAGAGGCUAGUGAAGUAAAAAAAAAAAAUUCAAGAAAACUGCAGGACUCACGAUCAAUUGAUCAUGUUUUCUUCACCUUGUGACUAAGUUUCUCUUUCCUCUCUCUUUCUUUUCUCUUCAUCUCCUGUUGUAAGUGAUAACUAUUCUUCUGUUCUUCUUCUUGUUUCUUCAUCCUCUUCUUCUGCUCUUCUUCUUUUCUCUUCAUCUCAUGUCGUAGUUGAUAACUAUUCUUCUGCUCGUUCUCUUUCUUUUCUUCUCUCUUCCAUCUCUCAUUCUACUUAUGCUUUGCUUUCUUUCUAGUUUGUAUCUCUUGCAGUUCUUCUACCGUGAGUUAUCUUUUGACGUUGAAGCACAUUUCAUCUAGUUGCAAGAUCUGUUGCUAUUCUUUUCUCGAAGAUGGAUGAUACUUUAAAGCUGAGUGAAGUAGCACAUUUAUAGGAGAAGAUUGUCGAUGCAUUUGGUGCAUGUGCAUAUCCACGUGCAUUUAUAGGAGAAGAUUGUCUGUAUUUGUCUUAACUAUGCACAGAAUUGGAUUCAUAAUCAACAAACGAAUAUUCACUAUGCAUUACCUAUUACCGUCCACAGGUGGCCUUUCUCACUUUUCGAUUCCAUGCAAUUCCUUCCGUUCAUAAAUAAACAUCACAUCCAGCAGAUGUUCGACCAAGCAAGAAGUCACUAAUUGUGUCUUUUGAAACGAGUGGAAUUAGCAGAAUUUUGAUUAACAAAAUCAAACUUUUGUAUUGGAAGAAAUGAAAAGAAUUAAUCUGAGAGCCAUUGCAUAUUUUUGUUGAGAAAGUUUUGGCAAACUGUAAAUGAUCAGUUUCCAUUCAUUGAAUAUAGAUCGUUACAUUAACAGUUGACCCAUAACAACCUUAACUUCGUGACUUUAUGGUAUUAGGAAUUUUUGCCCGUUCGAAAAUUGACUUGUCUCAGCUUUAACUCAUGUUGCUUAUUAAUAUGUUGUGUGGUGGGACUUUGUCUCAAGUCCAAAACCGAAUGGAAAUAGUGGAUCCUAAUUGGGAUAUCUCCAUAGUUCAUUGGAAGCUGAUCUGGUCUCUUAAAACCAUGUACGAGCCAGUUUGCCGGUGAAUCCAUAGUCACCGAAGAGAAUAUCAGGCUUACCUUGGCCUUCACUUCCUGGGAGCGAUGCGGCCACCAGGGCGUCCAUUGAGUUAAGAUAUGGCUCAAUUACAACGGGACCCCCAACAACGCAAUUGAUAGCCUGACAAACACUCUGGAUUGUUUUUGGACCUGAAUCAGGGAUAGUCAAGUGUUGGCUGUCACCUCUUGUCUAUGCACAAGGAACCUCACCAACAACCAAGUGGCAUAGUCGAAUUUCUUUUUAAAAAAGUUUUGCUUCGGUGCUUUUAUCGACAGUACGUGGCUUUGAUGGCGUUGAGGAUGGUGGUGCCCGCUCAAAAAAUUAAUCGAUAAAUUUUGUUCAAGAGAAGAUAUCAAGAACUCAAUAAUGCAGGAAAUAAAAGCAUAUAAUAUAAUAUAAUAUAUUGACAAGUAGAAUUUGGACGGGUUUUACGACAACAGGAGAAAAUUAAACAAAUUUUAAUUUUUACCCAUAUAUGCUAAUAACGUAGGCUUUUGAAUAUUCUAAUACGCCGAUUGUUUCACUCAUUUGGGAAGUAGAACGAAGUGAUCGUCACGUCCGCCUGGAACUAGAAGGAACUCGGAAUACGGAGGCAUCCUCGUUCUUUUGAUGUUUUAUUAAUGUAUUUACAGAUCGUUCGUUGAACAAGUUUCGAUAAUGAUUUUUUCGCAAGUUUAAUUACGAAAAUUUUAUUAUAAUUUUUUUUUCUUUUAAAUGAUAAAGUUCAGUGAACUUGCCCAUACAUGACUUUUCUUAGGUCUGUAAAUCUAUGCAUGCCCCUAAUUUUUUUAAUAAUAAUAUAUUUUCUUGCAUUCAUAUGAUUUAUUGAUGUUUUUACUAUCAAAAUAGCUUUCACAAAAAUCAAAUUAAAAUCUUAUGUUUUUCAGUUGAAUUAAUACAUUGAUCAAUUUAAACAGAAAGAGAUUUUUUAUUUUUGGUAAAAAAAUUAAAUAGAUUAUUGUUUGAAAAAUUAAAAAAAAAUUAACACAAAGUACGUACGUAAUAUAUUUUACGGAACGCUGUCGUUUGAAACGAAGCCAGCUAACGUACCCCUUCUCAGCAACUAAAGUUACUAAACGCAAGUUUUGGGUUGUGUUUUUGGAGAGAAGAAAAAGAAGAGAAAAGAAAAGAAAAAAUGGGAGCAGAAGACGAACAAAAGCAAGAGAACGAACAAUCAAGGACCAAUCCAAUUACGGAAUCCCAGUUCCUCGCUUGGAAGCGCCAAAAGGUCUCUCUUUUUCUCUCCCUCUCUUUUUUUUUUUAUAUUAUUCGUUGAUUUUUCUUUCUAACGAUUUAUGUAAAUUAGGGUUUUAUAUAGUUGUCUCUUUCUUAUUAAAUUUUCACUUAAUUUCAAUUAAAUCGCAUUUGUCCCUCAAAGCUAAUAUAAUUAAGCAAUGAAUUAUUUCCAUUUACCAUUGAAAUCUGAAAUCUUUUUGGUGGCCAGAGUCUUUGGAAAAUAAAGGUUCAAUGUCCUUAAUUUUUUUAUUGUUUGUCCGAUUGUAUGAAUCAGCUUUUUAAAUUUUUAAUUCAUGUGAUUUUCAGGAUGCAGAUGCAUCAGCUAAGAAAGCUGAGGCAGCUAGGAAACGUGCCGAAGAUAUAGCAGCCGGGACGGUGCAAAUGAAUGGACGGGAGCUUUUCUUGCAUGAGCCUUGGGUGUUUGAUAACUCUCAAUAUUAAGGUUAGUUUCAAGGAAAGACCAUGUAAUGUUGAUUUGAGCAGGACAUAGUGUUUAAAGGCUCUGAUGACGCUCAAAUUUCAAGUCUUUUGGCUCUGUUUCUUCAAGAGAAGGCAAAAUUGGUCCUAUGGAAAGAAACAAGUAUUUCUGGUUCUUGGUUACAUCGUUGAUAGUGUAUCUUAAGUCAUUUUACCGUUUUCCCUUUGUUUGGUUUGGUGUGCUAACUUUGUUAAUACUUAAACUAUCAGUAUUAAUUGAUUAUUGCCAUUUUUUUGAUUAAUUCUUUUGGUACUCUUUGUCUGAUACAGCUUUUGAUUGCUGUGUUCAUUAUAGACUCUGGUUUUGGGAUAUUGUAUUUUGGAUCGUCAUUCCUAGCUUCAUAUGAAGUUAAUCAUGACAAAUGAUAUUAAUGCAUUUGUAGGAAUUUAUAGUUACAACUUUCCUCUGGAUCCAAUGCUAAUUCAGCAAGCCAGCUGCUUAGUUUCCUUAAUUCAUACUUGAAAUGUUGAAUGGCUUUUGGCAAGCAUAUCCGAUGGUUUUCAACUGCCAUCAGAUGUCUAACAGAUCUAAGCACCACAUUUUAGUUUCAAAGAAAUCUCAUUUCAUUUUCUUGUUCUGCAAAAGUAUGAAGGUUUCCACACACACAAAAAGCAGGUGGUAGAUGAAUGAGGUUAGAGUAUCAGGAUUAGGCUGAUUGGCAGCUAGCAGGUGGUUCUAGGAUUCAGGGCCAGAAAUAAGAGGUGAUGAGACAUAGGCAAUUCUAGGACUCAGGGCAAGAAAUAAGAGGUGAUGAAAUAUAGGCGGUCCUACGAAUAGACGAGGCUGUUGGUAGAGUGCUGGACUCUUCAUUUUAGUGACCAGGGUUCAAAUCCUAACUUCAAUUAUCAAAAAGCAAUAUAGGCAGACCUAGGAUUCAGGCAAGAAAGAAGAGGUGAUGAAAUAGAUUUUUAUAUAAGCUGUACCUGUUUUCAUUGACACCUAUCGGAAUUCUUCCUCUCAAACCCUAAUUAGUGAAGCUGAACAAUCCAAGGAAUUAAGCAGAAACAUUAUGUCAUGUGCUUGUUACAGCAUUUGGUGAUACAAUUGUGUAUAAAAACCUGGAUUGUAGAUCUUGUCUUUUCUUUUUUGAAGAGGUUAUGCACUUAACUGCAACGGUAUUGUAAUAUGAAUAAAGUGUACUCUAAACCUUAUUAAUAUGAGAUGUUUGUUAUACUCCUUGUCCCUGAAUUUUAAUAUAGGUAAGUUCAUGAACUGUAAAUAAUCAAUUACCUUGUCAGUUCGUUAGAAGUUUCUUCCUUUUGAUUCUUGAGGUGUACUUACCUGUCCUGCAAAAUUGCAUCUGGCAUGAGGCCUUGCUAAUUUUCCUUUUUAAUAUUGUAGCUAAUAAGUUUGCAAAAAUUGCUUUACGCCCAGAGAGAAGCCAAACUAGAGGGCAAAAGGUUUGGGAGAAUGGCUAGACAAAGCAGCUUUCUUUUUUUUUUUUUUUUUUGAGAUAAGACAAAAGCAACUCUUGAGUAUUGAACAAAUUGAAAUUGGGUCAUGUCAUAGGGUUCAUGUCCUUGAUUAAGAUGUAUCCCUAGGGCAGUUGUCUCUGGUAUGCGUAUAUAAAAUUGAGAAAUAUGGCAUAAUCGUGAGGGUAAACAUCAUUUCCCUGCAUAAUGUUUUCUACAAUCAAUUAAUAAAGGGUUUUUGGAAUUGAGUAGGAAUUUACUUAUAGGAGAUAAAAUUUUUCUUUUUAUCCAUGUCCAAGACCCAAACCCAAGAUUUAAAGAUCCAUUUGUGUUAUGGUUAAAAUCAAAGACACCUUACAAAAACUUGAGAGUUUGAAAUCCCAAAUUUACAAAUACACUUAAUAAACCCCAAAUUAAUAGUAAGGUAUAGAUUAGUGUAACUCUUAUACUUAUUUUGGAUAUUAUGAUUAAAAUUAAAUUUAUAAUUUAUUUGAAUCAAAAUAAUUUUUUUUAAAUUUAGUAAUUUUGAUUCAAUGAUCUAAAAAAAAUAUAAAAGUUACAUUAGUGUAAGUGGAUUCCUCCUCUUUGGUAUUAUAACAUCGAUUAACUCAUUUUCGUUGCAUAAUGUGAAUUUAUCAUGUUUUAUUAGUUAUAAGAGUUAGAGGAUUGAUUUCGGAUUCCUUUUGGAGGUUUUAAGUGGUCAUUAUUAUUUCUUAAAACUUCAGCAGUGACAGAUAUUGCUUUUAAUAUGAAGGUUCUUUUCUUUUCUUUUCUUAUUUAUUUAUUUAUCAUGUGGAUCGUAGCUUGGCUUGAUAAAAGAUUGAACAUUGCCAUUCGAAUAUUAUCAAUGUGCAGUAAGAAACAUUCAAUAGAGAGAACCAUGGUCACUUAUAGGAGGAAACUUCACCUAAUAAUGACUUUUUAUUUGUAAAUAGCUGUCUCUUAAAAUGCAUUUUAUACCAAAACAAAGAGAGAGGAUCAACACCUUAAUUUAUCCAGGAAAUGAUUGCCUUGUAAUCUAAAAUCCUGUUCUAAGAAUUCGAAACACUGAGUGAACAGAAACUUUAAACCGAGACAAACUGAAAUCAACAACUUCUUCCCUUAUCUUAUCCCUUUUUUAACACAAUCCCAGCAGAGGGCCUCUUCGGCCUUGAUCUCAGUGCCAUCCAAACUGCACAUCAAACACCAGAGCUGUUAGGGGUUUAAUAUACUUCAAGCAAGGCAUAUAUCACAAUAUGCCGAAUCAGUUAAUUACAAUAAGAAUUUAAUGCCAGAAAUCAGGAAAAAUAUCAGAUCCAGCAUAGCAAUUUUUCUCUAAUAUAGACACCUAGAAAACAUAUCCAACUAGCCUUGCGAACGUUACAGUGCCUCCAAGAAAAUGUGCCCAUGAAUGCAAGAUUUCGUGGCCUUUUUAAUGUUUCAAUCAAGUUGUUUCUCUUCCUUGUUGUGGAUUAACUUUUAACCAAUGACAGAAAGGUUUCAAUCAAGGUCUCGGCCGUAUCUCCCUGUUAGAGCGAAGUAGGCUAGGAUAGUAGGUUUAGGGUUUGAAGGACAGACUCCAGUUUCUUCUACAAGAUUUGCAGCUCUACACCAAAUUAGAAGGAUAUCGCGUCGAAGCUCCUAUGAAAAAACGAAGAGGGUUUUGAGUUAAAACCUUUUUUUUUUUUGCUUCAGGCUCAAGUAACAAAUUAUUUGUUUAAAAAUAUUAGCUCCUUCCUACUUGAAGAGAAUCAGUUAGGAAGAAAUAGAAAUCCAAAAAAGAAAGGAAACAUGUCAUAAUUAGAAGUAAAAUAACAUAGACGAAAAGUGAAAAAGAUUAAAAAGGGAUAAUUGGAAUAUUUGGUGGGGUAGAGAAAUAAACGGUUCAUUAGAAUUGCUAGUUCCUGGUUAAUAUAGAUCUGAGCAAGACGGUUCGUUUUAUCCUGUUUCUGUUUCACGUAUGGCACCAUGCAAAGCCAUAAGCAGAAGAAUUAAAUUAAUUUUGAUUUAAGGAACUGUAUGAAUUAAGAGUUAAUUAUGAAUUAAUCAAGUUCAUCGUCAGAAUCUCCAUCAUCUCCAUUCUCUUCAUCUGCUUCAUCAUCACUGCAAGUAUUUUUAUUAUCAAACCAAUGCAAAAAAAAAAAAAAAAAAUCUAAAGGAGAACUAAAAAGGGUUUGUUUUUUAAAAAAUGAAAAAUAGAAAUGAAAAUAGUUAUGUUUAGAAGGCAAAAAGAGCAAUUCAAGGUCAGGCAAGAUGCAGAGCCUACGCAUAUGAUUUGGCCGCUGCUGCUCUUGACGAGACCUCUCCUCGUCAGUUACCAAUGGCUUAGCCAUAAAUAAAACGGAAAAUGUAAUAGACCCAACUAACUAGAAGAGAGAGGCUUAUCUGAGCAGUGAGUGGUGCACAACUGGAGAAGGUUGCUUGCUUUUACAGGAGAAGAGAAACGUUGGGCUUCGGCAAGUGUUUGCUAUGCAGGGAAAAUUUCACAUUCGACCUGUAAUUUUGCCACUUUUGCUUGAAGCCACUCUAGAACUUUGAAGUCAUUUGGCAGAGUUCUUUACUUUGAGGGCAUUUUGGACAGAGAACAUCGAUUUUAGAAACAAUAUGGUAUAUUCUAAAAUCAUCAGCAACAGCAAAGUUCAUUUCAGAAAAAAAUAAUAAUAAAUCAUCGGCAAAGUUAUAAGAUGUUCCUAAUAGAAGAAAUAAAUAAAUAAUAUUAUGUUAUAUAUGUCAUGGAUUGAGAUUCAACUUUUAAAUUCAUGCGACUUGAGGACUUGGGUAUACAUUCAUCUGACAUCCUAAAUCAAUCUAAAGUCGAUAUGAGGUAUUAUCUAUUUUAAUCCCAUUUUAAUUUUAUAGUUUUGUUCCAUAAAAAAAAUCUUAUAAAAGAAAAGUGUUGUAAACCUUUUUAUAUCUCAGUAACCCUAUUUUCAUGUCUGAUAUGGGAUUAGAAUACCCUAUCUCCCUCUACCCAAUUUCGUGAAGCUUUCGUUACGGAGACUGACCACCCUACCUAUCUUUUUCGAGGCUCUUGGGUCGAACAGAUUAUGACCUGUUCUGAUACUAUUUAUUAUAGAUUGAGACUCAACCUCAAAGUUCGUUUGAUUCCAAAACCCAGACAUACACUCAUUCGAUAUCCCAAAUCAAUUUAAUUGUCAUGGUUCACACUUUUUUUACUUUAAUCUUAUUUUGAUUUCAAAGUUUUAUCUCAUAAAAGAUAUCUUAUAAAAAAAAAAAGUGAUGUGAACUUUUUUAUAUCUCAAUAACUUUUUUUUCAUGUAUGAUAUGAGAUUAAAAUACUUUAUUUACUCUCUUUUGAAGUGCUUAGCAUGACAUAUACACAUUUUAAAAGAGCAUUAUUUAUUGAACUUCUAAACGAAAAUAAGUUUAGGGUAUUCUAAGCUUUCUUUUCUCUUUCCGUACUAGUAUUUCUUAGCGAUUGACGAUCGAUUUCUUUCAAAAUUAAUACAAAUUAUUUUCUUUAUUUAUAUUUAGUUCUUAAAUUUACACGUGUUUGUGAAGAUCAAUCAUAUAAUUUAUAUAAAUUAUCCAAUUUGAAAGACUCGCUUUUAUCAUUCUCUUUAUAAUAAGUCUUUGAUAACCAUCAAUAAGAAAGUUGGAAUAAACGAGAGAACAUUUGUUAUACUAAAACUUUUACUCUCUCCAAUCCAAUUGAACAUUAAAUUAUUGUUGUCUUUUUAUGAUUAUUGUGUAACAUAAUACGAUAUUAAAACCUUUUUUUAUAUGUUAACCGUUAAAAUCGGUUAAAUACAAUUUUCAAUUAUUUUAUAUUCAAAAAAAUUAUUUGUAUCGUUUUGAGUAUUUUAUUAUUAUAUUAUAUUAUGACAUUUGAAUUAUUUUCUAUACAUUCUAAAAAAAUGAUAAUUACAAUCCUUCCACUGUAAAUGAACAGAAGAUUAAUGUAUGAUUUUUUUCGAUCCUAACUUUAUUUUAGCUUAAAUUUGAAUAUUCCUUUUUUGGAAAAGAAAUUAAAGCCCUCUAAUGUUUUCGGGAGGUCCAAAAUAAUUUGCUAUGUUCUUAUCCUACUAAUCAGUCAUUAACCAUGAAUUGAUUUAAAAUCCAGACAACUAAGUUAAUCUUUCAUAACUGCAUCACAUGUCAUUACCUUUUAAACAAAUACUCAGUCGAUAAUUAUGGUUCAAAUUUUAAUUUUAAUUGAUGGGGCAGAAAAUGGUUAUUUUGAAGGAGGCCAUUAAUAGUAUCUUUUAGGGCAAAAGCUAGGAAUUAAUCUUAAGGUUUAUUAUUGAUUAUCUUCACUCUAAUUUUCUGACCAUUAGUUUAAUUUAGGUAGAGAAAAGAGUUUGGUCCACUAGUUUUUAUAUGCUAUAGUCUUUAUAUUUUAGAUUUUUGUAAAAGAGUUUGAACCGAGCCUCCAAAAAGUGCACCCAUGGAUAAAUGGCUUAAGAAGAAUGAAUAAUAAAAGAUAAAAAAUAAGUAAAUUUUAUGAGAGAAAUUAUAAUCAUUAACAAUCAAUAUCGCCAUUAAAUUAAUAAAUUUUUAAUCUUUAUCUUUUUCCAUCAUUUCUAUCAAGUAAAAUUAAUCUUAAUUUCUUAAUCUUGACAUUCAUUCAAACAAUGUUAAUUCUAGCUUCGUUAUUAUACCUAAUUUAUUUAGAUUUGUCAUGUAAUUAAAGGUAAAUUUAGUUUUAUUAAUAUUUCUUUUCUUCAAAUUUAGCAUAUCAUUUCUUGAUUAGAAGGUUUUAAUUAUCUCAAUGGUAAAAAAGAAAUUAGAACCUUUUUAAACUUUUAGGUUUAAAUCUCAUCUUAUUAGAUUAUAAAUGUGGAAAUCAAUCACAAUGUGGCUCUAAAUAUUAUGGUUGAUAUGUAUUAUAUGCAUUCGUAUAUGGUUGUCUUGAUUUUUAUUUUUUAAGAACCAAUGUGAUGGAAAUGAUUUAAUUGAGAGAACAAAUGUGUAUUUAACCCAUUUAUUUAACUAUUUUCAUAUGAUUUAAUCAAUGCAUUUGAACAUGCAGAAAAUUAGAUUUUUAUUGACAUUUUUUUAAUCAUUUAACACCCGGCCAUUAACCAUAUCUUUAUUAAUAAUAUUGAAAAAUAGAAAGAAGGAUUUUAUUUUAUAUAGGUUUUAUAUUUGAUAUUAUUAAUGAGUCAAACGAUAUCAAUUCAUUAAUAAAUAAAUAUUAACCUUUAAAAUAAUAUAUAAAAAAUUAAUUUUAAAAAAUUAUUAAUUAAUGAAGUGACAUCAUCCGAUUCAGCGAUAAUUUUUAGAAUGUGACAAUAUACUAAAUAUAAACUUAUUUAUAUAACCGUAUAUAACGAUUAUUUAUUUUCAAUUUACCCUAUAAUAAUUGAAUAAAUUAAAGCACACAUUAACAAAUAUACGUGGCAGCAAAUUGAUGCAAUAACCUUGCAAUGAUUUUUUUCCUUCCAUUUUGAUGUUUGAAAAUUUUAACUAGAAACGUUAUAAUAAAAAGAACUAAUAUAUUAUUAUGUAUAUAAUAGAAUAAUGUUUUGAGUUGAAUUGAGCUUAGUAUUGGUAGUAAAAUUUAAAAAUUAAAGGCAAAAAAGAUAGGAGUAAAUAUGCAAUUGAAACAAACCCUUUUAGAUUUAAUAGUUUUGUUUUCUUUCUUUUUUACAAAGGAGUUGACAAUUUAAAGAUAAGAACAAAAAAGAUGUAAAUACCGAAUUUAAAUUUUAGACAUGAUAGAUGAAACUUAAGAAAUGAUUACAUGAAUCAAUUAAAUAAAUCUCGAAUUCAAUUUUUUUCAUCAAAUAAUUAUUCUACCAACUGUUAUAUUAUCUUAAUGAAUGAAAAAAUUUUCAAUUAUAUAUCUAGAAAAUAUAAUAUGCAAAAUAUAUUUAAGAAAAAAAAUUGGUGUGUUCAAUGGUACAUUUACAUAGGAUGCUUCUAUCUCAAGGAAGCUUAGCCUAGGUUUAGAAUAUUACAACAGGAAUUAAGGUGAAGUCGUUUUAGGUUAGCACAUCAAGGGAAUGGAACCAAGGCAUUGCGUCAUUGCCCAUUGAGUUGAGGAACUCUGUUCUCAUUAUAAUUUGACCCUUCAUUGUCUGCUCUCUGACCAUGUGAACUACUGUUCCCUGGAAUUUCCAUCCGCUGAUCAUUUGGCAUCAUUUCUGGCAUUUCCUGACCCACCAUACCAUGCUGCUAAUUCCAACAAAUAUAAUUAGAUAUUGAUAAGUUGAAGUAUUUAUAUAUUAAGGAGCUUUUCACAUGAUCUGUAUUUGGCAAGAAAUUAAUGAACAUUUAGCAAUUAGAAAGGAAACCUGAAGAUGGGCAUAUAAGGUUUGUGGCAGGGGGCUGGAUUGUAGCCCUGUAGAAGCAAAAGGCUGAGGCCAGAGUGGGAAAUUUUCGCCACUUGGAUUUGAGACAUGGCACUGAUCUCCUAUGCUGUGUGGAUCCACGUUUGAGAUGCUUCCUUGCAGCAAUGGAUCGUAGACAGUAGAUGAAAGAUCCCUAAAUUUAUUACAAGAUAUACUGAUAAGUAUAGUAUACAAAUUGGGAUGUGGGUUUACUUCUUAUUCCAGACUCAAAUAAAAGCAAGAAUAACAGAAUUAGAACUGAAAAUGCACUGUACCUGAGAGGAUUUAAAGAUGCUGAAGCAUCAAAGAUUUGUGAUUGGUUUUGACCACUAUCAGGCAGCCAAUUCACAACCUCAUUCUCGAAAGAUGGAGGCAGUCCUUGCUGUCAAAUUCAAUCCAAUAAAAUUCAUAAUUUUCACAUUGUUGAUUUCAAGUCUGAAAUUUGAAGUUACCAAAGUUUUCAUUUGUUUUACCGCGAGAAAAAUUACCUGUAUAGGAGAUGGAUCAUAAGAAGAUAAAUGGUUGCUCAGUAUGUAUUCCUGUAAAGCAAAGGUACGGGGAUUUCGUAUAGAAAACAGAAAGAAGAAAAUUUUACGGAAACUAAAAAAUAAUAAUAAAGUGAAAUUCCAACCUUUCUUUGCACAACAUUUGCUAAUGUUUCAACAAGAUGUUUCUCACAGGAUUCAAGCUCCCCCAUGGAUGUGAACCUGAGAGGGUCAGGUUCAUAUGCCCUGUAUUUGAAGAAUCGGUAACUUAACCCAAACUUGAUAUGUUAAUCUUCUUCAGUUCUGUUUUUAGUUGUAGGUUUUUUUUUUUAAAAAAAAAACUCUGAAAUACCUUAACUGUUCCUCUGCCAUUUGAAGCUGUUGCUGUAACCUAACAAUUUCCUGUUGGAUUUCCUGCAAUGAAAACAUUAACAAACAUAAAUAAAAAUAAUAAAAAAAAAACAUAGAAGAAAACACACAUUAAGAUUAUAAGAGACAGAAAUGUUUAUGAUACCUUAAAAUCAGAGUUACAAGAUGUUGGACUGUUUUGGGGAACAAAUCCAAGAAAAGAAAAGAAAAACUUUUCUCCAUUAGAUAAUUUAAUUAAAAAAAAUCCUACAAAUAAAAAAUUAAUGGAAAUUAACUCAAAGAUAGAGAGAAGAAGGCAGACAAACUUGGCAAGUUGAAGAGCAAUAUCAUUUUCACUUCUUAGCUGCUGGAGAAUCCUGAGCAAAUACUGCAUAAAUACAAAAUACAAGAAUUCCAUGAAGAGACAUUUCAUAAUUUUCAUUUUCAUGGAACAUAUUAUCUUUCUCCAUGCAUUUCCCUCCUUUUUCUCCCCUCUCUUAAAUUUUUUUUCUAUAAAAGCAGAUGAAGAAAAUUUGACACCAUAUUAUAAGGUGAGUCAUUUUCUUACCUCUUUGUUUUGGAUGUCACUGCGACAGAAACAUUGAAUAAGUAUUAUAAGGUGAGUCAUUUUCAUAAAAAAAAACAGUGAAUUACUAGUUUUAAGAAAAAAUUGAACUGAAAGAAAAAAGGGUUUUAAGGACAUACGGAUGUCUGAUUUGUUCAGGAAAAUUAGAGCACUGCAACAGAUAAAUUGAUGGAGAUGUUACCAAAUCAACAUGUCAAAUGGAAAACAACCAGCAGAAUAAGUAUAAUACUAUAAAAUGGUUAAGAGCAUUACUGUUCCCUUUCUCGAUCUGGGAGAUUAAUGUAUCGCGUAAAGACAUCCUCGAUCCUGGUUUUGAUGGAAAAGGUUAAAGACUUGUACUAAUUUUCCUUGGGAAAAAAAAUUUUCUACAUGCUUAUAGUUCAACAAAUUUGAAAACGGAAAACAUGAAAAAUGUAAGCUAACAUGAGCUACUACUUUCUAUCCUAUCUUUGAGAAGACAAGGUGUUCAAUAGUGCAGUCAAAGGUCCUACUUACAGGCUUUUAACAGUUAAAAGUUAUGUGAAAAAAAAGCUAAUUAAUUGAGUUUAUUAGAGCAUCAGCAUGCAUGAAUUUUUUCUCACAUGCACUUAGCCUCAAGUGGAUUGAGAAAUUUUUUUUUUUAUAAAAGAGGUCGCAACAUAUGAAUAAAAAAUAAUAAAUCAUGAGAUUUAAAAUAAAAUUGUUGGAUUUCAUCUUUUAAAAAUGAUUCAUGAAUUAAUUAAUUGAAAUCUUGUUCCAUUGGGAUUAUUUUCAAUACUAAUAGUUAAUGUUAUUGUUUUGGAAAGCAAAUAUGUGUAGGUGAGUUUGUCUCUGCUAAUUAAUUAGAACUCAACUACAAGCAAUUCAGGCGUUCAUUAACUUUUUUUUAAAAAAUAAUUAAUGAAGGAAAAGAAGUAUUAUUUGUUGUAGUGCAUUGUCUAUAUUUCUUAAAAAAAUCGCAAUAUCUAAUUUAACAAAUAACUAAAAAAAAUGGAAUUACUUGAUAAUAGUAUUUCAUGAAUUGGUGUGGAGAUCAUUCAAAUAUUAUUGAAGAGUAAUCAUUUUCAAGAAAAUCUAGCGAAGUAUAUAUAGUUAUAAAUAAACAAAAAUUUGUGGAACAUGAAGAAAUGGUAAUAGCCAACAUAUCUGAUAGAACAUGAAGAAGGCAGGAUAAGAGCAAUAUCAAUGUCACCUUCUCCCGCCAGAAAAAUGGCUAAUUCGGCCUGAAGGAGAGAACAUGAUAAGAGCAAUAUCAAUGUCACAAAGGAUGGAAAGUUCAUAAGCCUUCUUAAUCAACCCAUUCCUACGCUUGGAAAAGGUAACCUGCCGAUUGGUGUUGUUUUCUAUUCUCUUAAUCUCCAGUUUAACACGCCCCAUCUCUUGAUCUUCUGUCACCUAAAUAUUUUAUAUGUAAAAAUGGAAAAAAAAAUUUUUUUUUUUUUGAAAAUUUGGAAUCAAAAGACACUCUAGUUUUAUUAUUUUUAGAACAAGAAAAUCUAAGAGAUGAUGAAUUGCUAUUUGCCUAUAUAUUGUCAAUGCAUGGACAAGAGAUGCCUGAAAAGAAGGGUGUGGUUAGAUGUGUGAGAGAAAGAGAGAGGGAGGGGGAAAUGGUUAAAAAUGGAUGGGAGAGGAGAGAUUUAAGAGUGAGAUAUUAAAGGAUUUAUAGAGAGGGAAGGGGUCAUAGAUUGAAAGGAAAUAAUUCAAUGGCUGAUUAAAAGGUGGCACAUUUUUUUUCCGCUUUGCAAUGAUUAACCUUAGUGUUUGAGGUUGUUGGUCACGGCGAAUUUUGGUGUUAUUCAGCCUUUAUAAUAUAUAAACCAUGUUCGUGCAUGUCAAUGUUCAUGUCAUGCCUCUAGUCUUAAAAUCAUUCGUCUUAUAAUCUUCAAUUUCUUAAUCUAGUGAUUAAAGAUCAUGUUUAGUUCACAAAAUUACAAUAAGAUAAGAUUAAAUAAUAUUAUUUUAUUUUAUAUUUGAUGUAUAUAAAAAUUAAAAUAUACUAAUUUAUUUAUUUGUCAAAAUUAUUUUUAUUUAAAGUUUAUAUAAUUUAAAUUAUUGAUAUAAUUUUUAAGGGUAUACUUGAACAUAUAAAUUUAAUCUUAUAGAUUAAAAAUAAUCUUCUCUACUUUGAGAGAAAUGAAUAAUUCUAUGCAAAGAGAAUAUUAAUUCUCCUUACAAUUUUUAUCUCUUUCUUUAGAUAUAAAUCGAAUAUAAUAUAAAAUAAUUAUUAUUUUAUUUUAUUAAUAAUAUUAUAUAUCAAAUAUGACCCAAAAAAAAAAAAAAGACUUGUAAUGGCUUUCGUCUUCCUAAAACCCAACGAUAAGUAUUUUGCACUUUGGCCCAACGAAGAUGAAUGGGCGUAUCAGCUUAAAAGCACAGUUUAAUCCAACACUAGGAAUUAAUGAUUCCCCGCUUUCCGUUGAGUCAAUUUUUUUUUAAUUCGUUUGCAAAAAAUUAAUAUUAAAUUAAAUUAUAUGAUAAAAAUAAUAAUUUUCAUUCAAAAAAUUUAAACACAAAUACCCAUUUUUAAAAUUGUUAGGAACAAAUUUAAAGCCCAGUCCAAAAGCUCAAAAACUGAUACACAUCCCAUAUCCAUCAUACUAUUAAGUCCAAAUUCAGCCCAAAUAUUAACACUGAACCAAUCACAAUCUGCCAAAUGUCAAUCUCCUAAUUGCCAGUUGGCAGCAAAAAGCAUGCAAGGGAUUGUUUCCAUGUUAUGGUAUUGAUUGAUUGGUUAAUAUAAUUGAUUCUUACUUUAUAUCCCUUGAAUAACAUAAAAAAAAAAAAUUUUAUGGUAAAAUGGGUUAAAGGUAGUGCAUUUGGUAAAAGAAAAGCUCUAUUCAAGAAUAACUAUCUUAUAAAAAAAAAUAAAUCAUUCUACAUGCUAUAUAACCAUAUAUAAUAAGGUUUUAUCUAAGGAUUCAAUGAUGUUUUAGGGGCCCAAGUGAACAAUGACAGGUGAGUUGAACCCAUCCAAUGAUCCAAAUGAAGCAUAAAGCUACAAAAUUAUUUCUGCAAAAACCAUUAACACUUCUCUAUAAGUUAAAAAUUUCAAACCAUUAACCGAGAAUUUAAAAAAAAAAAAAAAGUAUUUCAAGUCUUAAACACAUGCAGAUGCAGCAUUGUGCUCAAGCAGCAACUAACUUUGUGGAAUCUCAUGACAUUCAUUAUUUAAUUACUGUUUAGUAUAACAGUCAUAUGGUUACAAAUUCAACCUAUUACUCAAUAAGUCGGUGAAAUUUAAUACUAUAUCCUUAGUAUAUCCCGCGACAAGGAGCAGUAAAAUAUUUUGGAUAUGACCGGAUGGAGGUGAAUUUAUGAAUCUCAAAAUUGUCAACCUGGUCGGUCCUGAAAUUCAUUCCUUGUGCUUGAAUUCCGGUGUUCUAGGAGGCAAUUGGGCUACGGUUAAUUUAUAAUAUUCUUUGGGGAAAUUCCUAAUCCUGCUUGCUUUUCAGCUUUUAUCUCUUUAGAAAUUUAUCCGUAUGUGUAAUAAUUUUUAAGAGAUGAUACGUGCUCUUCAAGUUACCCAACCUAAUUCCACUACGAAUUACUAUUAAAUGCAAUGCAUAGAAGUCAUUUUAUCUAUUUUUUUUUUACAUCGUGAGAGUAAAAUUUUAAUAUAAAUAAGAGAAAGAGAGAAGAUUUGAUUCAAAAUAAAGUUUUUGAUAUCCCCUUAAAUAUUUUAAUCACUAUAAUUUUUACAUAAGACUGGAAACUUGGUGUGAUAACAUGACAGUUUAUUAAAAUACAAAUAUAAUUUGCAAAUAGAAGAACAUCAAUUACCAACUUAGUUAAUAAAUUUCAUUUCAGAUUUAUUAUGUAUAGAAAUUAAUGAAAUCUUACUUGAUUAGAAUUGAGUUAGCGAAGUUCUUAAGUACUAUUAUAUACGAUAUGAUGUUUAAGCAGUUAAAACUUAAGAUUUCAAUUAGUAGAUAUUACAUUAAAUUGAAGUAUUUAUAAGAUAAAAGAAGAUUAUAUCGCAAACUCAAAUGGUCUCUAUAUGUGUACCAAAAUUAAUUGAUUAAAUCUCAUCUUUAAAGGAAAAUUUUUGAGAACCUACGCAAAGUUUUGAAAUAACUUUUAUAAGGAUAUGCCUAAAGUGGAAUGGUGGAAAUGGGUUUUAAAUAGAAACACGAAAUAUAUGACUUAAUUUGUACUUGCCACUUGCACAAAAAGAAGCGUAUAAUUGAACAUCUCCUUAUAAUUAGCAAUUAUACUUACAUAUUCACGUGUUUUAAUUAUCAAUUUAAAAAAAAAAAAAACUAUAAAUUUUUUGGUACACUAAAAAUCUUUCAAAUUAUGCAAUUGAAAUAGAAUAAUCCGUUUCCUCUAAAAAAAUUAGGGAUGAAUGUGUCACUCUUUUUGAAAGAAAUAAAGAACUUAGUAUUAUAUUCAUAAUAUAUAAAAUAUAUGUAUUAAAAAAUUUAGACUUUCGUUGCCAACAAUCUAAUGAAUUAUUUAAAAUUUAAUUUUUAGCCAAAAUAAAAAAACAAAAAGAAAAAUUUCAUAAUUAAUUACAUGCAAUAUAUAUCGAAUAGUAAUGGAUCAAAGAAAGGUUAUUUAUAUUAUUAUCUAAGUAUACCAUAUUUCUGCAAACAGGAUAUGAAAAUAGCAAAUAACCAAUAAAGAAAACCUAUUUCGUAAAUCCCAGUGUGGUUUCCAUAAUCAAAUCUUGCCAGCUUUGCCAAACAUGUCCGGCUCCAAUUUAUUUUCUCAUAAUUCUUCCUUAUUGGUGAAUGAUAAGUUUCAAUGAACAGGGGAAAAAAAACUAGAAAAAAAAAAAAACCUGUUGCCCUCGUGCAAAAGGAUAAGCACACAGAGGCAUCAAAUAAACAGCAAGAUUAUGUUGCAAAUGUUGUAAAACUGUACAAUCCUCUAAUUAUUAUUAUUAUUAGUAUUAUUAUUAUUAUUAUUAAUUUCUUCUUGUUUACAUGAUGGAGCAAGCAUUAGGGUUUUCAUCACUGAACAUGUUGGUGUAGCUGUCGUCCAUGAUGGUUUCAGUGAUGGUGGAAGUGACAGGAACCGCCCUGACAUGAUUGGGAGGUGCCUUCUUGUCAUAAGCUUGAGCCACGUAAGGAUUCGCCACCAUAGUGUACGGCACAUAAGGCCACAACUCCACCUUCUUCUUCGUCGACUGAGCCGCGGCCAGGACUUUCUUUGCCUCCACGUUACCCGUCACGGUUGCUUUUUGUUGCUUCAAGUCCACCUCCACAGACUUAGCCCCUAUAAAAAAAUUUUUGAAAACUUCCAAGCAAAACAUAAAAAAAAUUUUACUAUAUUUAGUUUGAGUUCAAGAAAUUCGAACCCAAACUAUCAUUGGACUAAACAUUUUUGUUCAUCAAUCAUAUGAUAUAAGUGAUAGUUUGGUUUAUUACCUUUUACUCCGGAGAGGACUUUCUUGACCUUACGGGCACAACCUUCACAGUCCAUCCUGAUUUUAAGAGCUACAGUUUGAGUUUGCUUCUUCUUUUUCUUCUUCACGACGCUAAGCAAAUCAGAGAUGUAUUCCAAGGUGCCAUCGACUCCCAUUUUGAGUUGACUUUGAGAAGGCAAGGGUCGGAAGGGUUUGAAUGAUUUUGAUCCAAAGAACUAAGAUAGGUCUGUCUUAGGUUGAAGAAAAUGACUACUUCACACUUGUUUCGUCUCAAAUGGACAUAAAAUAAAUGCAAAGAGAGAAGCGUAAAGGCUAGGGCGGAAGUAAGAAGCUACUCACUCUUGGUCGUCAUGGCCAUGGCUAGCUUGUAUGGAUUUAUAGUGUCAAGCGUGACAAAAGUAAAAGGCUUUAAAAGAUAAGUUAAAAAAAAAUCUUAAUAUAAUUAGGGGAAUUUUGCUUUAAUUUUACUAGUAUAAGAUAUUGGAAAGGGGGUUCUUCUUAGAAACUCCAUGAAAUUUCCUUUGGGACACACAUCAGAUUCUCUCUCCCUUCCGUUGACUCUUUGCUCUUAUAGAGGAACAUACACAAAAGUGAAAUGCUUCAAAUGUCUUCUCUUUAACGUUCACCGUUUAGUUGAUUUUAUUAUAUAUAUAUAUAUAUAUAUAUUUAUAUAGGAUCAAAAAUCAAAUCCUUAAUAGUAAACCUCUUCUUUUAUCGGCCAUAUCUCGUUACGUUUUCUGAGAAACAGGUGUGUGAAAGCCUGAAAAUGGAUUAAAGGGGUUCAAGUAAAUGUUUGAUUUGUCUCCAAAAUGGGUUAUUAAUUAAGAAGAGAGUAAACCAGUAAACGUUUUUUAUUUGAAAUUAAAAGGAUUUAAACUUUAACUACUAAUAAUAAAAGUUUCACACUUUAUCGAUAAACAUUUUUAUUAAAGAGACCAACCACUAAAGCUAGAAAGAGAUGCAUCAAAAGUUGAAAAAAAAAAGAUUAAGAAAAAUUUUAGGUGUUUAAUUUUUCAACGAAAUUAAAUUUUUUAAUGCUCAAGAUAUGGGUUUGUGACAGCUGCCAAUUGUGAGAAGAUCUGGAGUGACAAGUGGACUUAGAAGAUUCCUAGGGGAUGAUCCAUGGCCACGUUGCAGAGAAAUUACACAAUCCGGUCACUAGCAAUUGUCCACUUAUGAAAUUGCAUGGUUGAUUGGGGGUUUGAUUGGGCGGUGGGAUUGUAGAAAAAAUAGUCAACAACUAAGCGUAAAAGGAUAAAAAACAUAAAGGAAAGAAUAAACAAAACUGAAAAUGGAUUUCACUGUCCUCUCACAUGGCAGCGAGCUUUGAAGGGUGAGCAUUUAAAUUACUACCUUUCUUAAUCCAACUCUAAAGCGAAAAAGCUCCCCCUCCGUGUGAAAAUGAAGGCGUCCAUACAUUUCCUAUAAUUUUUUAAACGAAUUAUGGAGUAGCAUUAUCCUGAUCAAUUUCUUCCUUUCGAAGUUGUUGGGAUAAGGCCCAGAUUGUCAUGCAAUUUCAAUCAGUAAACCAUGGCCAUAAAUUCGAGUUCUUGAAAGUGAAGUUGUCUCCCAAGGUCACUAAAUUAUUAUUGUUAAUCCUUAGCCUGUUAACCAGUAGCAUAUCUGCAUCUUGCGAGGAAGCUUUCCUCACUUAAUGGUGCAAAAUUUUGUUUUAUGUACUUUAUGUUAGAUAAUACUUUUAAGAAAAUAAGGUACUCUCAUAUAAUUGGGUAUGAACUAAUCAAAUCAAAAGAUUAUAGGCUUUGGUCUUUUUUUUUUUUUUUACACGAAACCUUAGUUACUUAAUAAAAAAAAAUUAUUUUAAAUUGAUGUCGUAAACCAAGAAAAAAAAACCAAAAAAAUAGAGAAAAAAUAAAAAAAAAGAAUUAGUUGAAUGAAAGUCAAUGCGUGAUUGAUUGAGCUGAAAUUUUAUCAGUAGGUUUAUAAUUCAAAGUUCUACAUUCUAAACAGUGAAGAUCAUGUUUGAAGCUCUCUAAGAAUAAAUUUAGUGUGUAUUUAUUGAGUCGCUUAUUUAGUGAAAUUUUUUCGAUUGUCUCUCUUUAGUUGUUGAUUAGCUUUAGUUUUAGUUAGAGAAGAACUUUUUAUAUCUAUUAUUUGAUAGUGAAGUUUUUUCUGGUGGUCCGUGAUUUUUUUCUUUACACUGAAAGAUUUUUCACAAAAAUCUUAGUGUGCUUUUAUUUUUUUUGUAUUUUUUAUUGUUGAUUAUUAUCUAUUGUUGUGGGUUUAUUGCAAUAUAUUGCUUCUACAUUGUUGUGUUUAUUGCUUCAGGUCUAACAAAUGGUAUCAGAGCUAAGGUUACGGUAAGUUUGAGUCCCAAUGGUGUUGCUGGGGGGAGAUUGUUGGCAGACUAGAGGUUGACCACAUCCAUCAACUCCAUGUGCUCAAACAUCGGUAUUAAAAAGUUCGACUUAGAUGUAGCAAGUCUAUGAUAAUAUAUAUAAAGCAAAACAUCCAAGUGGACGAUGUUGAGUCAACCUAGAAUGUAAGUUAAUGGAUCACUAAGACAAACCGGGCAACUAGAUUGAAUGUUGGAACUUGGCCUAAAAGCACACUAAAAAUGUGAGGUUGCUUGACCCAAAGGAGGAGGUUGCCUAGCCCAAAUGAGGUGUUGAUAGGACUUACUCGCAUGGAAGAACCGAUGUGAGACUUGAUUAGAACUCACAAGUGAACGAGAGAAAUUGUUGGGAUAUGGUUCAUAUGUGAGUAAAAAAUUUCACAUCAUUAGAAAAUCUAAAUGAGAUGACCUAUAUAUGCAUGAAGAACCCAAGAACCUAAUAGCUUAAGCUUUUGAGCUCAAGCGGUGUUCAAUAUGUAUGUAUGAACAUUCUGGUAUACUCUCAUAGGCUCUAAGUGUGGUUAUCUCUCUAACAGAUUGCUUCGCUUACUGAAAAUUGAUUGCAUCUAGCUCAUCAUUAAUUGUGGCUGAUUUAUUCAUAUCCUUAAGUUUUAUUUUUUGCUCAUUUUCAUCAUCUGUGGCUUUUUCUUGUGAAACCUUUGUCGGUUUUACAACAUCACACUCAACAGUAAUCCGUGUAGUUUUCUUAUUUUUUUUAAGGCCUGUUAUGUUUUUUUCAUGAAAGAUCAUAUCUUUGCUUCUGAUUAUCUUUUUUUUCACUGGAUUCCUAUACUCUGUAACCAAAUUCUUAUCAUCAUAUCCUAUAAAUACACACUAUGUAGCUUUACUAUCAAGCUUUGACCUCUACUCUUUCGGCACAUGCAUGAAUGCUUUAUACCUAAAAAUUUUUAAAUGAGAGUAUAAACCAUCUUUUCUUAUCCACACUCUUUUUGGAAUGUUAAAGCCCAAAGAACUGAUGGUGAUUUGUUAAACAAAUAACAAGUUAUGUAGAUUGCUUCACCCCAGAAUAGCUUUGGUAAUUUUGUCAUCCUUAACAAAUAUCUAAUUUUUUUUCAUAAUGGUACAGUUUAUCCUUUCAGCUACACUAUUAUGCUAUGGUGUUUCAAGUUCUGUCAUCUCAUACUUUAAACAGUACUCUUUAAAGCUUUGGAUGUGUAUUUCCAUUAUUAUCAAUCUGAAUACACUUUAAGGGUAAUCCUGUCAUCAUUUUCAUCAUGGCAUAAAAUUUUUAAAAAUACUAUAAUACAUGGCUUUUAUUUUUCAAUAUAUACAUCUAAGUCUUACGUGAAGCAUCAUCAAUAAAAAUAAUAAAAUAUCUAUUAUUACCUAAUGAGUCAAUCUCAAUGGGAUCACAUACGUUUGAAUAAAUUAAUUCUAUUUUUUUCCUCUGAGAACUCUUACGAAAAGAAACUCCACAAUACUUACCAAACAAACAAUGAUCACAUGAAUCGAGAGACAUAUUUUUAGUCAAGAGAAUAAAAGACUGUCUUGCUAAAACUUUUAACCCUUUCUCACUCAUGUGUGCUAGUCUCAUGUACCACAAGUUUGUUGAAACAUCAUCUUCAACGAUAUUUAUCUGGUUAUCGUUUAAUUGCAUCCAAUGUCUUAUACAUUGUGCAACAUAGUUUUUCUUUUACAACUAUCAUAGAUCCUUUGAGAAGCUUUCACUGCCCAUUUUUUAAUUGACUAUCAUCUCUUUCCUUAUCAAGGAUAUUAAUAGUAAGUAAGUUCAUUCUCAUAUUCGAAAUGUAUUGACAUCUCUCAAAGUCAACAUACAGUCCAUACUAGUUUGUACAACAAUAUCAUCAAUCUUAACAAUCUGUGACACAUUCUUGUUUUUCAUCUUGGUGCAACCAAAAUUUCUUACUUUGUAAGUUAUAAACAAGUCGCUCUUAGGAACAUAAUGAUAUGCUUCUCUUGUGUCAACUAUCCACUCAAUGUUGAGAUCACCAACAUGAUUACAAUCACUAUGUGUAUAAAUUAAAGUAACUGAAUCACUAUUUGAAUUUAUUGUUGUAACAUUGCUAUCAUUUGAACUCUUAUCUUUCUCAUCUUUUCGUUCUUGCUUUAAAAUUUUACAGUGUUGUUUUAUAUGACUUGCUUUACCAUAAUGAAAACAUUUCAUUUUAUCUUUGGACAUGGAUCUAUGUUUAGACUUACUACAAUAUUUUGAGUUCUGAUCUUUAUCAAUGUUUUCACCCCUAUUCUCUAUGACCAGAGCUUGAUUCUCAAGGUUUACAUCUUUUUGCCUUACUUCUUCAUUAAGCAUAUUAUCUUUUAUCAUCUUUAAUGUCACAUUGUAAUCAAGAGUUGAAUUAAGAACAGUCACAACUAGGGUAUUCCAGUUGUCUGACAAUGAACCAAAAAAAUAACGCCUUUAUUUCAUCAUCCAUUUUAAGUUUCAUAGUAGUCAUCCAAUUAAAUAUAUUUCAAAAAUCACUCAAAUGUUCUGUAAUAGAUCGUCCAUCCAUGUAUUGUAAAUUUACAAGCUUUUUAACAAGUAUAACUUUAUUCAUACCUAUUUUUCUCUCACACAAUGCUAUCAAAUUUUUCUCAAAUAGUGUGGGUAUCUGUCUCUUGCGUUACAUAUGGAAUACGCUGAUAUCAACCCAUUUUUUUUAUUAUAGCCAGCAUUUUUUUGCCUAACUUCUUCUAGCUUUUAUCUUUCAUAUCUGUUGAUUUAGUCGAAUCACCUAAUACCAGCUCAUACAAAUUUUUACAAUAUAAAUGAUCUUUCAUCAUAGAUUUUCAAAUUGAAUAAUUUGAUGCUGUCAAUUUUAUCAUGGAAUAUGUAUCACCCUAUAUGAUCUCAAACAAAAUUUACUUUUGUCUUAGUUUGCUUUUAUAUCGAUAUCUUAAAAUAAACUUUGUUCUGAUACUACUUGUUAAGGAGAUAAACCACAUUUAGAGCCUAUGAGAGCAUACCAGAAAGCUUAUACAUACAUAUUAGACAUCACUUGAGCCAAAAAACGUAAACUAUUAGGUUCUUGGGUUCUUCAUGCAUAUAUAAGAUAUCUUAUUCAGAUUUCUUAAUGAUGUAAGAUUUUUUACUCACAUGUGAACCAUAUUAGACAUCACUUGAGUCAAAAAACGUAAACUAUUAGGUUCUUGAGUUUUUCAUGCAUAUAUAAGAUAUCUCAUUCAGAUUUCUUAAUGAUGUAAGAAUUUUUACUCACAUGUGAACCAUAUCCCAACAAAUACAAGGCUCAAAAAAUAUAAAACAAUAUGUACUUCAUGUUUGAACUUGAGAUUUUCUUUUAGCCUUUCUUUUUUGCAAGUUGAAUAAAACAAAUGGAACUUUCAAUUACAAAUAAAAAUGGUUUCAAGAUAUGUUGCAAAUGUCAAUUUUCUUAAGAUUUAUUUUGUCUCUACCAAUUAUAAUUUGUAAAAGAGGUUGAAUAAAAUAGCAUUUAAGAUACAAUGAAAUCUAUGUUUGAUUUACUUUGCAUUAAAAAAACCAAAUCACUAAACACUCUUUGAUAAAAAAUGAAAAUAUUUUGUCUUUAACAAGAUUUUCUGUAGCAAAUAAUGUUAAAGACAAGAAGAAAAGUACAUUCAAAUUAUGUUAAAUAAACUCAUAACAAUUUCCAUUUAUAGGGAUUUAAUUUAAAGUUGUAAUUUUUAUUGAAAAGAUUUAUUUUUGAAUAAUUAAAGACAAAUUGGUUUAUUAAAUUGAUUGAUUUUUUUAUUCCAAGAUAAAUCAUUUUUUAUAUUUCAAGAAAUUAUAAUUUUUCUCGUAAAGCAAUCAACUCCACCAAGAAGGUAAUCGACUGCUCCUUUAUAAUUCCAAUUUCAAAAAUACUAUUCAAAACAGGGCAUUCGACUCCUCCUUAAAGCAAUAGAUUUUUUUCAAUUUUAAAAAAGUGUUUGACGCAUGAGCAAUUCACUGCUCCAUAUAGGAAUAAGCAAUUGAUUCCUUUUAAUUUUCAAAAAAGUUCCAAUUAUGAUUUCUUAUAGAGCAAUUGACUCCUUUUUGUUAAUAGUUGACUGUUAUAAUCUCAAACUAUUUUUUUAAAAAUUAUCAAAUAAUAACAAUAGUUUGUAUUAAAAUUUGAUUCGAUUUCACUGAUUUCUAACUAUAGCAGUUGAUUACUUAAAGAUGAUAAUUGAUUAUUAUUUUAUAUGAAAUCUAAGUUUAGCAUUUGUUUAUCAAAGUAACUGAAUUCGUACCAAUGACGAUCAACUACUUUUUUUAAGAAUCUAAAAUAAUUGAUUUUUUUAAGUAUGACAGUAGAUUAUUUGUAUGAUCAAUCUUUUACAUUGAUUCUCUUUAAAAUAAAAUCAUUUUUUUUGAAAUCAAACCUUUAUACAAUUCCUGUCUUGAUUAAGUGGAUGUAGUUAUUCAUGUCAUUUUGAUAUUAUUUGUAAAACUUUAAACAUCCCUUAGUAGUUUUCCUUGUGUUGAGAAGGUCAGGGAGAGCAUGUCCCUAGAACACAUGCCACCACCAAAGGCUAUCUAGAGGCCAAAAAAAAAAUAGUAUAAAAAUUAAUAUUUAAAAAUAUAAAAUAUAAAUCUUAAUAUCUAUUUAUUUUUAUUUCAACUUUAUAAAAAAAUCUUAAUCAUAUUUAUAAUGGGAUGACUUUCUAAGAUCCUAGGAGUCAAGAUUUUAAUGAAAAAAGCGAAAUUAAUAUAACAAGUACACGAUAUUACCAUUGUCUGUCAGAUGAAGCCAAAAUAAGUCCAAUUUUUCCCCAUAUUACCCCCAAUAAUUGAGAAAUGGUGGCCUUUCAUUUUGGUAUGAUGAACUAGAAGGACCCACACUGCAAGAAAAUUCAAUAAUUGAAAUGACAGUCUCAUAGAAGUCGAUAAUGAAAAAGGACAAAUUUUCUGUUUUUAUCCACACCUAUAAUCCAACCUUACCAUUUGUCUUUACAACUUUAUUUUCUUGGCAGCUUUUUCCACAAUUCCUUACCAUUUAAAAGCUCGAUUUUGUGGAGGAAGGACAGUAGCUCAGACAUGCUGAAGCUGACAUGAAAGAUUCAUAAUUUCAUUUCUCUUGUCUGAUUAUUACUCUGUUCCGGUUACCAAAGAAAAGAAAUGGGUCAGGGUUUCUGAUAGUGUUCUUCGGUGGUAACACCAUUUCAAAGUCACCAUGCUCAAUUUCCUUUUCUUUUCCUGCAUUAAUUUUGAUAAUUACACUAUGGGUUAUCCAUAGCCAGCUUUUUGGGAGUAAGUUUAAUGUUAAAAUCAAAGGGACCACAUCUGCUUUUGACAAGAAACAGAGUCGAUAAUGCCAACCUCAAAUUAUUAUUUCCUGUAUUAUCAAUCCGUGGUUAAAUUUGUAAGAAUUGAAUAGGUUUAAAUUCGAUUUUUGCUAUAAUAAUUUUUAAUAAUUUAUCUUAAUGAACAAUCUGUAAAUAUAAUAUAAAUUUUCUUUAAAAUCUACGAUUUGCCUAACCCUGGAAGAGUCGGCCCACAUCCUAAACUUUUUUUUUUUUUGACGAUUGUUUGGUCAUAUUUGGAGACAAAACAUGCUCCUGGACGAUUAUUAAAUACUCUAUUCAAAAGAAAAGAUUUUACAAGAUAUUAAAAACAACUCCCCAUAUCAUGGAUUAAAUUUACUAGAUUUUUUCAUUUUAAUACAACUUUAAACCUACAACCUCAACUAAAAACAAAUUCCAAAAAGACAAAGAUGGAUUGGAUCAGAAGAAUUUCGCAGCAAUUACGUGUACACUCAGCAUCAGUAAACUAAUACUAAUGAAAGCAAACAUAAGCCUGAAGUAGAUUUACCUGAACAAAAUAUUGCUCUUACUACCAACCCCGCUUGAUAAAUUUAAAAGAAGAAAAAAAAAAGUGAACAAUGUUCGCAAUUUGGUAAAGCUGACAAGAAUUGGGAGGAUUUACAAGAGAGAAAUACUAAUGGUUAAAGUAAACACCUUAGCAGUAGCAAUGAACUCAGUAGGCAAAGAACGGUGGGAAUUUGCAGUGGUGAAGCCACAGAAGGUUUUGUGGAAGCCCUUCCUGCAACUGUCGGAGCAACUGCUGGUGUAUUAUUGGUGCUCUGUUGCUCAUUGGUCGGCAGUUGUAUUGGAGAUUCACCAUUGGGAGAUGGCGUGAGAUGUUCGCUUGAUCUGUCACUCACAUCUUGACCUGCCGAUGCAAUUUGGGAUUACUUCAGGACAUAAUAAUGAAGUUGAACAAAGAACAUUUACUUGCUUCAGCAUAUUGAGAGCUUAAGAGGGAAAACUGUAGACAAACUCUAAUGUUGCUUCUUACCAGAAAAUAUGAUCAACACAUGAUUAUUGAGGAAAUAAUGUAAAAUAGGAAAGUAUAAAAAAUAUUAAAAUACAGGAAUCACAAAAAGCAAUGAUUUGCACUGCUCCUGUAUAAUUAAAGUUAUUGCUACCUUUAAAAUGUAACAUUAUACAGAAAUAUAUAUAUUUAUGUAUAUGUUUAUGUAUAUAAAUACAUGUAUAUGUAUCCACAAUUCAAGUCUGUUACUUAGCACCAUCAAUUUCUUAGAUGAAUGAAAAAUGUGGGAUCGUUACUGAUAUUUUACAAUGUCUGCCAUAAAUCCUAUUCCAACUUAAUUUUCCAGUAACAAAUAACACCUCUAAUAUGAAAUUUCUGUUCAAUAUUUUCUGAGACUGAGAUACGUUAAUAACCUUAAUGCAGAAAAUGACAAACAUCAUAAAAAUAAGUCACUUAGUAGUAGGCCACCAUUUUUUCCAAAUAAUAAAUUAAAUAGAUAUAACAUGGGCAUUACUCAUCAAUAAUCAGUUGUAGUACAAUUAAGUGCACGAUCCAUCCUGACUAGAACUGACUAUAACCCUCUAUUUUUAAUGCCAAAGAACAAGCCCCGCAAUCAUUUGUUUAUCCUGCAGAGAUUGGAGUGGGGCAUGGUACAAGUGGUUUACAAGCAAGAAAGGAUAUGAGGGCAGAGAAUUGAUCAGGAGUUUAUUCAUCAAUCAUUGGACGAGAAGAAGAAUGUAUUGCUCCACAAGAUGCUGCUUUGGUCAUUACAAGAGCUUUAGUAUCUUAAAAACUACAAGGGAGGGAAAGCCGAUUUCUCUUCCAGAACAUGAUUGAUGAAAUCUCACUAAUUUCAACUCUUAUGCCUAGUAACAAAGAAAUUCUUCAAUCUAGAUCUAGACAUGUAAACCCAAGAUAAACAAGAAGCCAUUAAAAAAGAAAAGGACAAAUGAAAUAGCUAAUAGAAAGGGUGGAAAGAUCUACUCUAUUACUUACAGUUGGAAUGUGACCAACCCAACUUCAGAUUUUCUCGAUCAAAAACAAUGCGAUGGCCUGUCAUGAAGUUUUCUGCAACACAUUUGUUGAUCCAGUGUCAUUAAAAAUACACACACAGAGGCAUGAAGAUAGCAAAGCCAUAAAGAAAUACAGGUGCAUAUGGAAAGACAGAGAGUAGACUCACGUCCAAUGAUACCAAAGUCAUCGCUUCCACGUAAUACAGUUAAACAGAACACUGUAAAACCCUGCACAACAAUGUCAAGACAAUUUAUGCUUCCUUCAAAACUUAGAAUGUUAGGACUAGCCCAGACCCUAGAGUGUGCUUGGAAACCAAAAAUCUGAAAGAUAAUAAUAAAUGAAUGGCAGCAACAUGAAUUAGAUGAAUUUGUCGAUAAUGUCCAAGGAGAUUUUAGAGAAAAACCACCCUAAUUACAGUAAAACAAAUCUGGAAGUAAGAAAAAAUUUUUUCUAAAAGGUAAGAAGUAAUAGGAAGCGUCUAGGGGAAAUUCUGUUACACUUAACGUUUGUUAUUCUGCAUCAAAAAGAAGUUUAAGUAAGUUUUCUGUUCCCAUCGUAUAAUAAUCAUAAGGAAGAAGUACAAACUCAGAAAGGGGACAUAUCCCUCAUACAAAGGAAUUGUAACAAAAUUUGACACAUGCACAAUUUAUGUCGGACAAAUCUAUGCAAGUAGCUUGUACUCUAUACCUAAAUUCAUAUUGACUUCUGAUUUAACUUAUUCUGCAAACUAUAUUCUUUUAAACAGUCACAAAUUUAAGUUCACAUUUAAUAUAAGCAAGAAAAGGAGACUAACCUCAAUAUCAGUAUAGGAAUAAAUAUGGUUAUGAAUUUCAAAGCUUUGGUUCAUAGCAAAUUUAAGUCUCAUGCUAGGAAUUUUGAAAGGCUCCUGUGAACUGCUCAAAGGAAAGAAACAGCAGUCAAUCAGUAAAAAGAAAAAGAAAAAGGCCUCCAAACCUCUCAAACAAUGUCAAACAUCCAACCUGACAUUAUAACAGUACUUCCAAAGAUCUUCUUGGUAGCUAAUCCUUCUCGCAUCUACUUGUUUAUCAAACUGUAACAAAAGGAACAAUAAUUUCAGGCCAUAAAAAAAUAAACACAAUAAUUUCUAUAACAACGACAAGGACAAAAUGAUGAACCUCCAGAACAACUUUAUCAUAGAUUUCAGGAGGAAGAAAUGUGAAAGAUGUGCCACUAUCCACCAGUGCUAAGAAUCCGGAUCUCUCAAGACAAGAGUUCCCGACACAUAAAUGCUCUACUCGUACAAAGUAUGUUUCACUGAAACAAUUAUUGGCAAGAAAAUUGCUGAACUUCCACCACCAAUAAAUAGUAGCAAACAUAACACCAGAUAAAAGAAAGUCUUAGCUAAUAAGAAAACAAAAAGAACAUAUAGAAGGGUCACAUAGAUGGCAUACUAUUUUCCUCCUAUUGGUAAGAAUGGAGUAGAUUGUUGGGACGCAAGCCCUUUAUCACCAAAAUAAAUUCUUCCAGAACCAUUCUCAUCAAAACAAAUUGAGAAAGAAUUCUGAAUCAAUCCUGCUUUUGCCAGCAAACUUGGAACUGAAAUGUUUCCAGGUCCCAAUCCCAUUAGGCCAUCAGGAGCAGCUCCAUCCAGAUAGCCACCAGUUUGCUUCCUCCCACAGCUGAAUUGAGAUAAAGUGAACAAAGAAGCAAGUAACAUCAUUAACAAAAGCAUGAGCCAGACAAAUUUGGCCGUAUCAGAUCACAUAUGUCUUUGGCCAAAAAAAGAAAAGAUCAAAUGACAUCAAGAACAAUCAAAACACACCCAACUAUGACCGAAGCCUGAACCAAACUCUCCGCUGCAUGGUCAGUAAAUGACUUCAAAUGUAAUUUAUCUUCAACCAGAUAUCCAGAACUUGAGGUAUUAUCCGAAUCAUAUUCAAUAAUGUAAGGGCAGGGAUCAUUCGGCCGUUUGCAGUAUGAACUUGACUCGCAUAACUGAUGGCUACAAGACAGGUUUUUGCUACUGCUUGACAAAGAUGGGUUAUACUCGCUCAGAUCUUUAUCCUGCACAAUAGAUGCCCCAAAUACGUGGGAGCACCUGCCAAUCAAUCAUUGGAAUUAAAAUGCUAAACCGGGAACCGGUUACCAAUUCUUAGCAUAACUAGUCCGCAAUCAUGGAAGCAACAACGUUAACUAUCCCACUAAUGUGUAGUCCAAAAGAAAUAUUACUACUUUCCAGUGAAAGUUUCACUCCCCGCCUACCACCACCACCACCACCACUUCAAACAAAACUAACACAGCCGCCAACUUAUGGUUAAUAGGUAGAAUGUCCUGUUAACUUAAGCAAAUUUAAUAGCAAAAUUCAUUUACCAAUUUGUUUCAUCUUUAACCAAGCUUAUAAGCAAGUUUAUCCAAUCUUCCAUAACCAAUAUUUUGAAUUACAAUGAAGUUAAAAGUCAUCACCGCUCUCCUAUCCUAUUCUACCACCACCACCACCACAAACUCAUAGUUAAAUUCAUAUUAACAAGAAAAACAGCUAUUAUUUGCUUUUGAAAUGAAUCUUCGGCAGUCAUUAUUAAACCUCAUAUGUAUAUUUAAUAGGAUCAAACCAGUAAUCAUAAUACAAACACCCAAUUCAUUGGCCAAUGAGAAGCAAGAACCCCAAGCAUGCAAAGCAGUUGAAAAGCUGAAACAAUAGCAAAACAGCCUUAGAAAUUAUUAGCAAGUAAACAUUCUAAGCUAAACAGGGGAGAAGUAGUAAUAAAACAAAUGGCAAUACAUUGAUAAAUUACCAAUGAAUUAUAGUAACUUGCAGACAAAGGAGCGCAUUGUAUGCAAUCACAUGGGACCCACAGCAGAUCGCUCCCCGCAUCCAAUGCUACGAGGAAUGAAACAUUCGGUGUCCCUAUGUCUAUCCAUGUGUAAUGUAACCUGAAAUUUUUUUUAAAAAUACGAAUCAAAUUAUUGACUACAAAAAUUAGAAAGCAAAAUAAACUGCAAAACAAAAAAUAAAUAAAUAAAGAAGUGAAACUUUUCCACUCCUUUUUCUCUUUACUUUUCCCGAGAGACAAACGGAAAAUAAGUUGAAAAAAAAAAAAGAGAGUAAAAAGAAACUUCAAAAAAGCUGACCAGUCAAACUCGUUUCCGAAGAAGAGGGUUUCGCUUCCUUGAGAAGGAAACAGCAACGGAUCCUGAGAGCCUAGCUUCAUCCUCUGCCUCUUCAAAUCGUUCUCUAUCAGCAACUCCAAGUACUCCAAGCUAUUCCUCUUCGGCCAAGAAACGACACCGUUAGCCACAUUGCCGUUUCGAGCAGUCCAAAGCACCUUCGCCUCGUCGGAGAACCUGUGGAUCAACUUCGACGAAAAUGUGCCCGCCUCCGAACCUCCAACUAAAAGCCAAACGCUCAGAACCAAAACCACCGCGUUUUUCUCCAUACGACUAUCGUAAAGCUUUUAAGAGUUAUUGAGUUUUGCAGAGUUGAGUGGAGCCGGCUUGGUUAUUUCACUUAUUUGAAUGGUGGAAGGGUGCGUAGUGCGCAUAGACUAGGAGGCUAGAACGGUGACGUUUUAGAGGGUGUGUUCACGUGAAAGGCAAAGGGCUGUUUUAUAAGAAAAAGGAUGAUUAGGGAAUUUGAAUAAUAAUAAUAAAAUUUUCAUGUUUUUUUUAAAGAGAAGGAUCCAAUGAAGGAGAGAAACAUGGGGCGCGUCAUGUUUGAAUACGUGUCGAAAAGUGGGAAUGGACGGUGGGUAGCGGCACGUGGGGUUGUUUUAUUAGUAAGCUUUUUGAAAAGGCCAGAAAAAAUGAUGCGAUUACGACUUACGAACCUGGACCCUUUUGAUAAUGGUGCAUGAUUUAGAUAUUGGCCAAAAAAAUCUUUUGACUCGAUUUAUUGCUAAUAAAUAAAAGGUUUAAUAUUGAAAUAUGCUCUCAAUGAUUUAAAUUUUUAAAGUUUGAUUAUAUGUGAAUUAGUCUAUUUUUUUAUGUAAAUAAAUCUAUAAAAUUUUUAAAUUAAUAUAAUUAAAUAAAUUUUCAUUAAAUCAAACUAACUAAUUGAUAUAAUGACAUGAUAAAUGAUAUUUAAGUGAAUUACAGAUAUGACAUUUUGUAAAAAAAUAAAUAAAUAAAUAAUAUUGCACUUGUAGACAAAAAUUGAAAUACAAUAAAAAAAAAAAGAAAUAAACAAGAGAAAAACAAUUAAUAUCUUUUAACAUUCAAACCUAUUCAUGUAUCAUAUAAAAGAAAUAAAAGAGUAAACAAAUAGGAAAAGAACAAGUAAUAUUAUUCUCCAUUUAGACUUGCUUGUGUAUUAUACAACAAAAAUAAAAAAAAAUAAAUAAGAAAAAAAUAAAUAUCACUAUCAGGCUUGUAAAUAAAAGAAGAAAACAAAACAAAAACAAGAAAUAAAAUAGGUAAAAAUCUAUAAUAAAAAAUAUUCAUUUCACUAACAUCUAUAUACAACACCAUUUAACAAAAUGUCAUAAACUGAAAGUAAGUCUAAAAGUAAGUUAUAUAUAACAUCAUUCAAUUAAUCCACAUUAAACCAUAAAUUUGCAAUUAUAUUUGGCAAAAGGCAAUUAACAAUUUAAAUUGCCAUAUAAUAAAUUCAACAAAAGAAAUGUUAUGGAAUUAACUAAUAUAAACAUUCAUAUUCAAUUUUUCUUGUUGUUAACAUAUGAUCUCCACUUAUGUUUCUUUCAUCAAUUAAAGUUUCACUUGGUAUCCUAAGCUAUAUAGGAAAGAUAGAGUAAAAAAAAAAAAAGUAAAAAAUUAGUUUAUUUUUAAAAACACAAAUAGCUAUCAAUUUGAAAAGUUCAGUGUACUUACAUUUAGAAUUGAAUUUCUUGCAUCUAAGUCAAUAUAUAAACCAAUGCCAAAUAAGUAUGGUGGCCUAUUUUGUUGCUUUCUUUUCCCUUAGCCUAUUGCAUGUAAUGCUUGCUAUUGAGUAACACUUUCAUAUUUAUUCUACAUCAACACUUUUUUGUUUAUAUAUACAUUUAUGGAUCACAAAUAAAUAGUUAAUACAUAUGCCUUAUUUAUACCAAUCAUACUUCAUACAAUUUCAUUCACAUUUAAUACCAAGAAUAACAUUUUUGAAUAAGCAAAAAGCUAUUCAAUAAAUAUUAGAUACAUUUAACUUCAAGGCAAAAGCUAGAUCACAAAAGUAAUACUGAAGCAAAACUGUGAAUGAAAAAUAGCUACAUCUAAUAGUCAUGCAAGAGGUAUAAACUACCACAUAAGCUAAAAAUAUGCCUAGAGAGACAUAUGAGAUGUCUAAAUCAUAUAUAGAAUUUAGGCAUCCUUGUUUCUGGUACAGAUCAAGAAAACCUUAUCUUAUCUAGCAAAUAAAAAAUAAAUCUAAUCCAACCAAAUAAAAGAUAAAUCUAAUCAUAACAUUAUUCUUGCAGUCAUAUUGAGCAUCAUUUGCACACUACUUAAUUUUUUUUGGGCUAGUCUUACAACUAAUAUAAAUAUAAAUAUAGAAUUUAAAAACACUAAAAGCAAGACAAUGUUAGUAAUAAUUUUUACCUCUUCUAAACCAUGAUUUGCACAAUUUUUCAUAAACAAGUUGCAGCACUACUCUACUAAAAAGAUGUUUUCCUAUUUUUUCCUCUUAUUGAUUCAGUUGGUCCUGAACCCUUACCUUUUCCCUUUUCUUUACCUCUACCUCUGCCUCUUCCUUUUGCUAAACCACUUGACUAUUUUGAAACCUAAGAACAAAUAAUAAACCAUUGCAAUAGUUGGAGAAGAACUAAGUCAAGUUUGCAUAUGAAUAAAUAAAAUGUAUUAAAAACAACAACUUACUGAGCUAGAUGUACCAACAAAGUUGCUUUUUUAAAGGUAGCUAGCUUUGCUGUGUUCUGGUUGUUUACAAAGCUAGUAAGUCAUAAUCAUGCCCUUUAUAGAUAGUUUAUAUCUAGCUUUAGACUCACCAUACUUUGAAAUUCCAUUCUUUUGUGGCAAGCCUAGCAUUCUUCUAACCAAAGGAGGCUACAUAACUUUUAACUCACUUUUUGGCCAUUGAUUUUCACGAUUGAUAAACUGUAAAAUAUGUUCAUAAGUCAAUACAAAUCUUUCCUUUGAACAAUAGUCAUGGAUUUACUCUUUAGGCUAAUCACCAUCAUAAAAACUUGCACAAAUAGCAUGACAACAUGGAUAGUAGUUAGAUCCAUGAUUUGCAGGCACAUGUUCUUUUGGUAAGAUUGACUAUGAAUUGCAUCCUACCACAUUUAACUUUAUAUCCAUCAUUGCCAUUUAAAAACAACAUGCCACUGAGUUACUUCUUCCAAAUUCUUGGUCAAUUUUGCCAUGACCAGUGUGCCAUGAUUCUUCACCCAUUUUACUAAAAACUUUAUUUUCUCACUUAUCAUUAUCAUCAUAGCCACUAUAAUCUCCUCAAACAUCGUGAUAAUAGGCUUAUGUAUAACUUUGACCAAAGUGUCAUUAAAUGUUUCACAUAAGUUGUUGUGGCACACAUCACACCUAACAUUUGUUCUAAAGAAAACCUUAUACCAAUAUUUUGAGGAUAUUUGAACAAGUCUUCCUUUGCUGAUCUAAAGUUAUCUUUUUUGUGCAAUAGCUCUCACAUAUCUUCAAAUUAUCUUUCUAUUAAAGCAUUUGCACACAUUUAGAAAUGUUUCUUCAUUAUUUUGCCUCGAUGGCUCCAAUUCAAAUUUGCAUGUAUAUGCUAAGCACACCUCUUAUGCUCAAUAUUAAGGAACAUUUCUUCUAUAACAUUUGUAAGUCCUUACAAAACAACGAAGAUAACACAAUUAGUGAAAAGUAAUUAUAGUUAAUAGACUUUAAAAAUAAAAUCUAAUUAAGUAAAUAAGGUACAAAAUUAUACCUUUUGUGGAUUACUAAUAAUAGUCCAAGGUUUAUUACUGGUUAUAUCAAAAUAAGUUUUUAGUCCAAAAAUCACCUUUAUAAAUCCAAUUUUUCAUUCUUUACCACAACCCAAGCAACAUGAUACAUCUAAUUAUUUGCAUCCUUAACUAUAACAAUUAAUAUCUCUUUUUUUACUAAACCCUUGAGAAAACAACCAUCUAAAACUAUAAUUUUCCUACAUCUUGUUUUAAAUCAUUCAUUAAAGGUAGUAAAAUAGAAAUAAAUCUUCUAAAAAUAUGAUGGUGAAGUAGGAACAAUCCUCUCUAUUUUUAUUAUAAUAGUGCUACUAGGAUUUUGAUUGAGGUGCUUAUCAGUUUAAUUUCUCAAUUUAGAAAACUCAUUGGAAAAAAUAUUUUGCAUACUAGCCAAUGUCAUUAGCUUUGCCCUUCUAACUUUAUCAAUAGACACAAAACACUUUAACUCUUAUUUAAUAUGAGUGUGUAGCUCAGUAUGCUUCAAGUAUGGUUCUUUCCUUAUCUUAUCUUAAAGUUUUUUAAACAACCACUUUGCAUUUAAUAUCAGUAGCUUGUACUUACAAUUACAUCUAUGGAUAUUGCAUAAUGUCUUCACUUGAAAGCAUUUCAAUUUAUCUUCAUAGCUGGUAUUGCAUUGAAAAAGGCAUAUACUAGCACAUAAAACAUUCACUCUUCUAGGUUUAUUCUUAAUAAACCAAAUAUCCCUCGUAGUGUGAACAUCAUAAUCCAUCAUAACUUUUUUAAACUAAGUGACAUCUUUAAAUAAUAGACCUAAUUCAAGAUCAAAGAUAAAAGAUUUUGGAUCGUAGGAAGAAAAAUUAGUUUUUCUUAGUAAUGAUUCAACUUCUUCACCAUCAUCAUUUUUCUUAGAUUCAUAACUUGAAGGCUUAGAAGAUUUAGGAUACUUUAUUGCAUAUCCAUCUAUGCUAUGAUCACUUUCAACAUUAAAAGAUGGAACUGGCCUAUUUUGCUUCUUUUUUAAAAUUUCUUUACUCUUUUUUUUUUUUUUUCAAUACUAGGUCUUACCUUAGUUGUUUGGUUUGGUGCAUUAGGCCUAGCCUCAUUAUCAUUACUAGGCCUCGCCUCAUUAUCAUUUCUUUUUCUUCAUUUAUUUUUCAUACUACAACAUUGCCUAACAAUCUCCCUUAUUUCUCUAACCUUCUCAUCAUUAUCUGCUAAACAUGUCACAUCAUAUAACAAGUCAUUAUCAACUGACUUGUCAUUUUCAUGAACAUUACCUUCACCACUACUAUCUUCAACAUUAGUAUCUUCACCUUCAUUCUUUCCAACAUCUGAAGUUUCACCAAUCGUUCAUAUUUUCAUUAGGAGUUUUAAAGAAAAUAUUACCAAUGUUAGCAUAAUUUUCUAUCUUUAUUAGCUUAACCAAAUAAAGAUAAUAAAUUUCAUCAAUAUCAUAUUCAACGUCAUUGACCUCAUAAUUGGUAUAUCUUAUAUUAGGGUCAUGCACAAAAUUAUGCAUGAAAGAUUUUUAGAUUGAUAGUUCUCCACAUGCUGCCAAAAGAAAAAAGGUAAUAUAAGUCAAUAAGGUAAACAAAAGUAGAUACAACUUAACAUAUGGCUUAACAAUCCAUGUGGGACCACUCAACAACAUUUAAGCAUAACAAUCUAACAAUAUAAAACCCAAGCAAUAACACAUGCGACCAGACAGUAACAUAUGCGACCAAAUAACAAUAGAGGGCUUAAAAAUCUUAACAACACAACCUAAUCAAUGACAUAUAAAACCACUCAACCACACAUGUCAAAACUGAUGUAACACAUAAAAAACUUCUUAAAUAUAAAAUUAGACAUAAAUUUCACAUACUAAAUCAACAAAAAUAUAAUAUUUAUACAAAAACAUUUGACUCAAGCAUUUCUACUAGCAAAUCUUUGCCUUUCUAUUAGUUCCCAAAAAAUCUUUAAUAGCAUAUGUUUCACACACGUUUUGCAAGUUUCAACCAACAUUAGCCCCUUCUCCAUAAAAUCCUAAUUUGCAAUAUUCCCAAAACUUCAACUCAGUCAAAACAAAACCUAAAAUCAAUCAAAAUCCUUCUUUAAAAACCCUAGUAAUCCAAAUGUUUUUUUAAAACCCUAAAUUGCAACACUCCUAAUACUCUAUCUCAAUCAAGACAAAACCUAAAAUCAAUCAAAAUCCUUCUUUAAAAAUUUAAGUAGCAUUUAGAUCAAGAACUUCUUCCUUUCCCAAUCUCAUAUUUACUUAUCAAUUUCUUUUUUAACCAAUUACUUUUUUUUACUAAGGUUUUUUUAUGAUUUUUUUUCUUAAAUGCCUUGUAAUCUAUCAAUGUGGACCGACUAUUACACAUCGUCAUCUUUGUUGGAUAAUAUGUAUCUAAUAGUAAUGAUAGUUAGUUUAACUUAACAAAAUUUUACUUUGUUACAAUAAUUUAAAAUUUUAUAGAUUUAUUUAUAUAAAAAUAUAAAAAUAUGGACUAAUUUGCAAGUAAUAAAAUGUUGAGGGCUUAAAUAUGUUUUAUAUAAAAGGUUAAGGGUAUAUUUUAAUAUUAAACCUAAAUAAUAUCACUUUUUUCCCCUUUUGGAACAAUGAUAACAGUAAAGAAUUAUUGUGAAACAACUUUUAAUAUUUAUAUAUAUAUAUAUUUGAAAUUAGAUUUAAUAAUUUAUAUUAUAUUAAAUAUUAAUAAUUUAUAUAUUCAUAUUAUAUUUUACAUAAAAAUUAUUUAUCAUAAUUUAUAUUUACAUCGAAAAUCUAAAAUAUAUUAUUUUAUUUUAUUAAAAUUUAAAACUUGUAUGUUUUUAUGUUUUUUUUAUUACUUUUGUGUUAUUCAUUAUAUUCAUAUGAAACGUUGAGAUGAUCCAUUCAUUCAAAGCCUAUUUUAAAAAGUUUGGAUUUAUUUAUGUAUAGUUAAUUAUCUUUGCAAUCUUGAUAUCUUAAGUCAUAUUUGGUACACAAGAUUAUGAUAAGAUAAUAUAAGAUGAUAUUAUAAAUAGGAUUAGAUUAAAUAAUGUUAUCAUAUCUUAUUUUUUAUGUGUGCAAUGAUUAAGAAAUAAUAAUUUAUUUAUUAGUAAAAAUUAUUCUUCCUUGAAACUUACACAAUUUAAAUUAUUAAUGUAUUUUAAGGGUAUAGUAGGGCAUAUAAGUUCAAUUACAUGGAUUAAAAAUAAUUCUCUUUACUUUGAGAAGAUUGAAUCCUCAUAUACUAAAAAGAUGAUAAUUGUCAUUGUAAUCCUAUCCCUUUCUUUAAGUACAAAUAAAAUAUAAUAUAAGAUGAUUGUCAUUCUAUUUUAUCCAUCAUUUUAUAUACCAAAUAUGACUUACUACUCCAAUGCCUAACAACUAGAAAUGUAUAUAGCCUAAAAGCUAAAACUAGAAUUUUACUAGCUAGCCCAUUAUAUCUACUAAUAAUUUGGGACUAGUGCUAAUGGGUCGAUCACUUUCUUUAGCCAUUUUAGGUCAUAUUUGGUACAUAAGAUAUGAUAUAAAAUGAUAAGAUAAGAUAAUAUUAGAUUAAAUAACUUCAUCUUAUUUUGUGUUUGAUGUAUAUAAAGAUUAGGAUAUGAUAAUUUAUUUUUUUGUCAAAAUUAUCUUUUUUUAAAGUUUAUACAAUUUAAAUUAUUCAUAUAAUUUUUAAAUAUAUAAUUGGACAUAUAAAUUUAAUCUUAUAGAAUGAAAAUAAUCAUCUCCACUUAGGGAGGAUUAAAUAAUUCUAUACUAAGAGGAUAUUAAUUUUCAUUGCAAUCCAUAUCCCUCUCUUUAAAUACAAAUCAAACAUAAUAUAAAAUGAUUAUUAUCAUAUUUUAUCAGUAAUCCUAUGCAUCAAACAUAACAUUAAAUCAUUAAAUAAAUUAUAUUUCAUAUUACAAUUAUAAUUAAAAUUUACAAUUACAAUUACAAACAAAUUAUUUUAACAUAUAUCAAAUUGUAUAAUAAAGAAUAAAUCAAAAAUUAAUAUAAAAUUUGAUUAAACCUACUCAUAUUAAUUUCUGCUAAAUUCUAUUGAAUCAAAAAACUAUUCUAAUUAUAAUAAGUUAGGUUCUAAUUAAUCCUUCAUUUCCAUUUUCUUUUUAUUUGUCUAUGUAUUAUGACAUCAAAAAGGUCCAAUUGAAAGAAUGCCACUCCUACAUUUCCACCCCGAGCAUUUGACUGAUUACAAUGCAUAUAUCUUUCUGUUUAAAGAAUUGAUUGGAUUUAAUGUUUUUUUUCUCACAAUUAAAAAAAAACCCACUUGACCUUUAUUUUUUUGAAAAUACAUGAAAAAUUAAAUUUAAUAAUUACUUGCAAAUGUAUGAUAACAAGUCCAAGCAUAUAGUGGUAGCUAAAUUCGAUAAAUUCAAAGUAAGGUAAAUUAAAAAUAAAAAAGAAUUAAAGUUGUGUUUGAUAAACAAUUGAAAAAUUUUCAAACCAUUAUUGAAAUUUAAAAUUUUUAAUAGUUUUAUAUAUUUUUAAUACAUUGGAUACUUUAAAAAUUAUUUAAUAGAAGACUUUUAAUGAAAGAGUUUUGAAAUGCUAAGUAGCAUUUAAUUAGCUACUUAAUAUAUUAAGUCAAUCUUAUUUAAAAAGAAUUAUUUAAUUUUAUUAAUUAUAUAUUUCUUCCUUUUUUUACUUUUAAUAAAUUAAAAAUAAUUAUAAAAUCAUAUCUGUAUUUUAUAAAAAAAAUUGAUAAUUAAGAAGAAAAUUAUUAAACAUUAUGUAACAUACCGAAUAAUUUUUAUAUUAAAUAUCUAGUACUUAAAAUUUUCAAAAUUGGCCAAUAUUCUUGAAAGGUUGAUUUAUUAGAAUUUAAUAGUUUUUCGAACUUACCAUUAUAAGGAUAAAACCUAAUUGAUAUUUUACUUUGGAUUAUUAAGUAUAUAAGGAAGAUGUGACGAGAAAAAUUAUAAAUAAUGAAAGUCAAUAUUAAUUUCUAAAAAAAAAAAUAAAAAUCAGCACAUUUAAUGGCUAAAUCGUUACUAUUUCGGAAUUGGGAGAUAUCCCUUCGAUGAACAACCCUAAUCCCUUGAACCUCGCCUAAAAUUAGGCAUUUUUUUUUCCAAGAAAAGGAGAUUUUACACUCAUUUAUUUAUUUUUUAAUUUCUUUUUCUAUUAAAAAAAAAAGCAUGAAAAACGAACGACACGUUUUAUCUGUCAAUCGGAAGGAUGCGUUUGCUGGUUGCUUCUCUGUCUUAGCUUAUGAAUCCUCUCCUUUUGAGUUGUCACCUUAUAAAUCCUCUCUUUCUGAGUUGUCUUCUUCUAUAUUCAUCCAUCGUCUCUGCUUCUUUCUCUCAGGCAAGUGAUUUUACAUACUUUUUUAGCCGUUUUUCACAUUCAUUUUCAUUUGUUUUUACCUUUCUUGAAUCUGGGUUUUUUUAGGGUUUUGAAGGAGUUCAAAUGUGAUUGGAUUUGGGUUUAUUAUUGGUAUGUUCUCUUUCUCUGUCUCGUUCCUCACUGAAACCUUUUCAAUUUCCCCGAUGAUCAGCAAACAUAAAAUACUACAAUUUCGUUGAUUAAUUAUUAUAUUUUUUUUGCUUGGGUUGCUUGAAAAACAAAGAAUUUGAUAAAAAAAUUUGAGUUAAAACUUUUAAGUUUUAAGGCAUUAGCAUUGUUUUCCUGGAUUUCAUUUGCAUGACAGAUAUGUGCUGGUUUCUUGACCGUCAAGCCUUCUGGACGCGCAUCAUAAGAUUCUUUGUUUUUGCUUUUUUUUUUUUUCAUUUUUUCCACAUUAUUCUUUUAUUUCUUUUAUAUUUUGCCUAUCAAAACUGAUUUUUUUUUCUUUAAUUAUAUAUUGAGUACAUAUAUCAUAUGAUUACUUCUUUACGUCAGAUUUCUUUUUUGAAUUGUUUAUUAGAAUGAAACUGAAAUUAAAACUCAGGAAGAGGUGCAAAAUUUAUUGAGAUCAUGCGUGCACAAUGAAUCUAUUUCAAAUACAUCCAAAAGAAAACCAGAUGCCUUCAUUUCUUGUCUUUCUUACUGGUUAGAGUUUUUCAAUGUUUCACAUUGUAAAAUUGAUGAUAUUUUCUUUUUCUUUUUUUCUUUUGAAAAAAACAGGGUCGAUGCCACAUAUAAAACCCAAGCUUGACGUCACAGAUAUUAGCUGUCAUCUCUUUCCAUCUUUCCCUCUCUCAAUGAAUACUCCUCUUCCCUCUAUUUAUAACCUAAUUCGUAAUAGCCCUUUUCUCUCACAAUUUCUCUUCAUGCACUUGUAGUUUUGUUACCUUGAAAAAAACCCAAAUCCAAAAUCCCUUACUCGUUUUGAUAUGCUUGGUCUCGAAGCCUUAACCAUAUGUCCAAAGAAGAGCCAAACUGAAAAGCAUUGCAAUUCUUGCAUGAUGAGUUCAAGCGUCGUUUCCCUAUCGGCUUCUUCUUUGAUUGGUGAUUAUAUUGGCAUGGAGAGUUGCUUUGAUCUGGAAAAUAACAAAGAGGUUUGCCUUGGUGUUAAGAAAGAUAAUGAGUAUUCUGGGGUUUGCAGUCGAAGUCGUGGGAAGCGAGAACAACGGUGUAGGAGGAUGAUGAAGAGAGAGUUUCCUCCGCCAUUAACGUGGCUUGUUCGCACCGAGAAUCUGCCUUCUCAUAUGCCUUGGGUGUUGAAAAGGUAUUACACUAGUGAUGGGCGGUUGAUUCUUAGAGAGGAGAAGGUGAGACACCAUGAAUAUUUCCGGGCUCACCGAUCCAAUGGUCGUUUAACAUUGCAUCUUGUGCCCUCGGAUGACAACGAUGAGAUUGAUGAUAUUGAGGAUCAUGAGAUUCAUCAUGAAGAAGCAAAGGUCGAAGAGGCUCAAGUCAAUGGUUUUGACAACGACAGCAACAAUAUUAACAAUGCCGAGGAUGAUCACAAGAUUAAUAUUGUUGAAACUUUGCUUAAAGACAACGACAUUCCUUUGAUUGAAGAUUCAAUACUGAAAUGUUCAAUUGCUGAGACUCCAAUUGAGAAUGUUAUUGCAGCAAAUGGAGGAAUAUGCUUGAACUACUGCAGUGUAAGACCAAGUCCUACAUGUUUUAUCAAGUUGCCAGUGCCAGCAAUCAGGCCAGUGCACAGUUAAUUAGGUAGCAAAACCUUCUCAAAAGGAGAAAAAAAAUGAGGUGUCACUUUCAUAAGAUAAAUGGAAAUGCGUAUGGUUGAGUAGCUUUAGUCUUAGAUUCCUUCUAUUUUUCCUUCUAUUUUCUCUUUUUUACCUUUCCCCCAAUUUUCCCCUUUUGGGGUGGCCUUCUUCGUUGAUGUGAUGAGAGUGAGUUGUCCUUUUCAUGCCUUUUGUAAGGUCAGUGGUAGAGGUUUCAAAGGGUAUUUUCUUUGUUAGGGUUUCGUUUACUUUGGUUUUUGCACAAUAGAUCUUUCAUUUGUUAGUGAUGAAUUUUUAUGGGUGUUAUUUUUUUUCCCCUUUGGGUUUAUCUAUUGGCCAUUCUCAUGUCCUAGAUUUUUCAAUGUCAAUGCCAAAUGCCGAAAUCCCUUUUAUGUAACUACCAUUUCCAGCAACAUAACAUGGUACAUGGAAGAGUACCAUAUUUUGAUGGGGAAUGGGUUAUAGUAUUAUGACAUAUUGGCAAUUAUGCAUUUGUUUCUAACGUUUUGCCGAAUUUUAGCUCUACCCAACUCAUUUAGAUUAUCAAUGCUUACUCCAUCCAAUCUUGAAAGGGUUAAGAGUGUGUGGCACCACCAUUGCUAAACUUUUGUCUUCUGUCAUUCUCUUUUAAUUUGGUUUGCUUAUUUACCACCAUUUUGGCUUGCAAUUUACACUGAUUUGGGACAUUAUUUUUAUUUGGAUUUAUGAUGAUAAUCACAAGUAUUUUUUGCGAAUAAAAUUAUAUGUAUCAUAUUUUAAUUUUGAAAUGGAUAAUAUGGUAGGGACAUAUAUAUACUCAUUAAUGAAUUUUAAGUAGGUGUACAAGAUUAUGAUUAAAAUGGCUGAACUGGAUUAAAGAGUAAGAGUUAAGCAUUCAAUGUAUAUAUAGUAUGGAAAGUCCUACUAAUUUCAAAGGUUAUAUAUUAAGCAUAGGUAGGUUUAUGCAAGUUAUUAGGAAUAUUAUUAUAUAAACAUACAUUCAAAUGAAAGCUCAAAAAUCAUGCAGGUUUCUUGAAAGAAAACAAUAGGAACCUGAUUGAUUACUCAUGAUCCUCAAACUUCUAUAGAAAAAAUGAGUUGCAUGCAGCUGAUGAGAGCUAAGAGGCAAAUGCCAAAUGAAAAGAUUGUAGAAAAAGAGAAAUUAGUGUUCCCAAAGCAUCAUCAUCCAUAGAUCAUCUCUAGAAGGUAGCUAUUAGAAAUAUCAAAGAAGUAAUUCUAAAAAGAAAAAGGGACGAAUUCAAGUGGUCACCAGGAACUGGGAGUACAUGCUAUAUGGUAUUGCACUACCUGAUCAGAUAUUUUUUCUCCAAGCAUAUGAAAGACAAAAAACAAGUUGGGUUCCAUGAUGGCCACGCCCCUCAAAGAAAAAUUGUGCAGAAGGGUGUGGCACCGGCGGUAGACAGAAGAAUCGAAAAUCAAUCAAAAGUACUUGAGGCCCAGCCUGGCCAGGCCAGCCAGGGGAACAAUUUCCAAAGGGGACCCAAGUAGACUAAUCAUCAUCAUCAUGAUGUUAUGCACGUAUUAGCAAAGUAUAUGAAGUACAGCUUACCUCCCAAUUUCUAUUACUGUGUCAGUUCUCAUGAUCGGCAGGGCUUGCAGGGCUCUGCCUUGGCACUUCACUGCAAAACCUUCCAACCUUUCACUGUCAUUUUUGGCAGCAGGCUGGUGCGUCUACCAAUGUCACAAGUCAACCCCUUUGUUUCAUAUCGAUGAAUUUACUUACUAAACUUUGCCAUCUGCCAUGAUCGGUCACUAGACUAAUUAAUCAAUCAUUGAUUGAUAACCAUUUUACGUAUGCUAGCAUGAAGUUUAACUUCCCAAUGCAUUAAGUGGGAAAAUAAGUAAACUGUAUCUUUAAAUCUCAGAUUGUCCAACCAAACGCAACAAAUGGUGUGAAGUGUUACAAUUUUUCAAGGGUAGUAAUAAUAUUGUAUUAUAAAUGGUUAAUAAGAACAGUUCAGCAUUGUCCAAUUGAACAAUAAAAGAGUCGAACAGGCCCCCCCUUGUAUCAAAUCAAAUGAAAUGAAUCACUGGUAGUCUCUGUUAGUAAAGCCAGACCUGUGAUGAUUCUAAUUCCCAGUAGUCUUAAUGAUAAAAUUUGGAUGACAUGACUAGCUUGCAACUUCGAUGAGUAACACUUUGCAUUUAUUAUAUUGUUCCUUUGCAUGAUAUAUAAUGCAACUUGAAUUGUAUUGUAAAGGAACUGGGUUUGUUUUAUUUUUCUGUAAUACUUUCUCCUUGUGUAAAAUUUAGCUUAUGUUUUCUUUUUCAAAUAUUCUAUUGACAUUCAAUGACUAAUAUUUGAUGAUCUCAUAUACCUAUGCUCAAAUCUUUCUUCAAUGGUAUUCAAUAUUGAUAAACAACCUUUAAUUUUUGUACUUAUUUGGUUCAUGUCAUAACUUUUUGAAGACAAAAGACAAAUUAUAAACUAACGCAUGCAUUAAUUGGAACCAAGUUAUUUUACCUGUGAAAUUAUAUAAUGGUAUUUUAGUUGUUUAAAAACUAUGAGAAGUCCCUGCUUUUCUAUUUUUGUUUCUAAGCCAGAAUUUAUCAAAACAACCAGAUAAUUAAAAAAACUAAUUGUACAAAGAGGAAAUCCAAAGUUCCAUUACAACCCUAUUAGAACAACCAAGAUAUCCCCUUAUUGUAAACCAUGCAAAGACACCCAAGCUAGAUACCACACCCAAGAACAAGCAAAUUACACAAAGAUCUGACAGAAAAAAGAGGAGACAGCACAGCAGUCCAAGCCAGGAAAAUCGAAGCAAAAGCCGACCACAGAACCUCCAAGAACCAACCGUAGAAAGUUUAGAUUAAUGCCAUGCUUAUGCUUGCAACAAUAAGAUGCUGACAGUAAUGAAAGCCGAUAUGGAGCCUAUCAUAACUUAAAAUGGAGUAGAACCUCCAAUAUACAUCAAUAGCACAUUAACAGUUAAUCAUUAGCAUCCCGUUCCCUUCGCUUCAUUUACAUCCAACUUUUAGAUAAUGAUUUUUCAUCACCUGCGAAAGAGAAUCCAAGAUAUUUUUCAAGCUCCUCAACUUUGACAAUCUCAUCUCUAUACAUAGAAUUUAUCCGUCGAAUAUCAGUGUCCGAAAUGCAAUUAUCAUUGUCUAAAAUCACAGGGGUGCAGGAGCAGGACUACAAACAAGAGUCUUUUUAAAUACUUUUAAAAGAAAAAAGUAAUAGAAGUUUGAAUUUGUCCUGUUCGAAAUUAUCAAAAGUAAAAACACAUUGGCAAUUAUAUGCAUAUAGAGAUGAAUAAUGUCAUUUGUAAUAAUGGUCAUUGUUUGAUUUUCUUCUUCAUCAUUGAAACCAACAAAAAGAAGACAACCUCCGGAGGUUCGAAUAGUACUGAAGAGUCUAAGCUGUCACAAAAGCUAAACAUCAGCUUGCACAAGUGGGCUAUUACAAUGUACUACGAAUUUUUAUUUACUUUACAUUAUUGUUCACUUGGAACACGUACGACCCCCUCGUGAAGAAAUUAAAACCGUUCUUAUGCUCUCCCUUACAACCUCUUCUCUUCAUCUCAUAAAAAGGUUUGUAAGGCAGCAAUACAUGUAUACGUUUUAUGUUAAAAAGAUGUUUUGGAAUUCAUUUUCCAAAAUAAUAAGAUAAGAGAAAAAUAACAGAAAGACGAUAGUGGAUGUGUCAAUAUUGUCAGUACUAAUUUCCACUAGCUAAUCAGAGAGAAAAUGCAUGCAAGCAUGGGAUCCUUACAUGAAGAUGGGUUGAUUUCAAGAACUAAAUCUAUAGUUUUAUCCCUCUAUCGAAUCAGGCACAUCCAGGUUUCCCCUCUCCCACGCAAAUCCAAAAAGAUCAAUGCACUGCCUCUGUCUAUAAACAAUAUCUCCAGCUACCAGGUCUCAAAACCCUAAUAUAUGCACAGGAAAGUAUCCCUCAAAUUCAGAGUCCAACUCACUAGCUGAAUCCUCUCAUCAUCCAUUCCUUCACCAUCCCACAGUCGUUACCUCUAUCAUCAUCACUCUUCGCCUCAGAUUUCCAACCCUUGUUUCGAUCCUUAAGCACUCACUCUUCAUCAUACUCUUCUUGGCCCCCUGCGAUGGAUGAUAUGCUCGCGACUGAAAGUGGAGUUUCAUGAGUCCUAAUGCAUUGAAAAUGCCAGAAAUGGAUCAGAAAGCAAAUGGUUAUAAUCAUGGUAAGAGCAAGCGAGGGCGUGCGAUUACAGGAGAAUAUCCAGCCCCCAUUCCUUUACUGGCAAGAACGGGGAAUUUGCCUGGUAACAUGCCUUUGAUUUUAGCGCGACAUUACAGUAAUGGGAGGCUCAUUCUUAAAGAAGAGAAAGUGAAGCAUCAUGACUAUUUUCAAGCCUACAGAGAAAAUGGUUCGCUUAGUCUCGAACUUGUGCCUUUGGAUGACACUUUGCCAUGCGAUUUGCGAGGAAAAUGAUGAGGAGGAGGAGGAGCUAGAGCUAGAAAACCUUGCAAGGAGAUGAAUUAGAGAAGGUUGAAGAAUAUGAUGAAGAUCAAACUAAAGCUGCUACCUAUGAUGAUGAUAAUGAAGAUAAUGGCUACGUGUGCCAAGGGUUAAUCACGAUUUCAUCAUCAGCUUUUUCAGUGCCUAAAUUCUGCCAUGGGAAUGAAAAAUAUGGAGAUCCAGGCAAGUGUUUGACGUAUUCGGGUAGGAUUAUAUCAGAAUCGAGUUCAAUAUUUUCCGAUGCUAUCGAGGAAGAAGGCAAUUCAGCUCCUUCGACAUUCUCCAAUAUUUUUCCAUCGAUGACUACUAGUCUACUAAAACUGCCUAUGAUGUAGCUUGUUUGGUGAAGUAGAUUAAAUCCUGGCUAUAAGACAAUUUACUCUCGGAAUAAAUUAUCUCUCAAACUUUAAUGGGCAAAAGAGAAAGUUACCAAUUGAAUGUACUUUGGGUUGGACAGCAUUAUUUGUAAUUUCUCUUUUGCAUAUGGGCUAACGGGGCUUGUACAUGACCCAUAGACAAAAAUUACGCCUUCAUCCACAAAUCCAGGCUCUAGCUCCUUUUCUCUCGCUGUUAAUAAAAAAACAGGACCUAUUUUUGUUCCUGAUUAGCCCAAAAAAUGUUAUGGGCUGAACCGAGGAAACCUUUUACCGGAAAUGCAAACAGCGACAAUUUCCGCUUUCCACGCAUUUACAUUAAACGUCAACAACAGCGAAGACUCGAAUGCAUGUACCAGGAAACUCAUCAGAUCAAAUAUGAUUUGCCGGUUGACCAAACAAUUCUACGUGAAAAGGCAUAAAAAUAAAAAUCUAGACGGCUACGAUACACGUGGGCAUUGUUUUGCCGACGUGUCAUUAUCCCAACCAACCUUACACGUAUUUUAUCAAAAUUUUCGGUGCUGUAUUACGUCAAGCAGCCAAACUUGAAUUGUCAUUACAAUUGCAAACAAUUAGAAAAAUCGCUUUUGAUCAGAUAGAUAGUCUCAAUAGCUAAUUUGGAUGGUAGCUUUUGUUGGGUAUCAGGUAAUUUUUUUUCACUUACCCUGACUUUUUAUUUUAUUUUUCAGUUAAAGAUCUGAAUAAUGCAUGCGAAAAUAUGUAGUUUCUGGAUCAAUUCUGCUAACUUUUGGAAUGGGGUUUUUUUUUUUUUUUUAAUCUUGCAUUUUAUUUGAUUGUGUGUGUGUGUUUUUUUUUUAAUUUUUCUGUUUUCCUUUCUUCUAUUUAUUUGUUGAUGAUACAGUGGAAUGGUUAAGUUUGAGAGAAUUUGUGUGCUUCUGAAAGUUUUGGCUGUUAUGAUAAUUUAUUGGGUUGAUUGAAAAUCGAUUUUUAAGAGCUGUUUAACUUAGUUCUUUGUUUUGAUGGAGGAAUACAAUUUGGGAAGGGGUUAUUUGGCUUAUUUCUUUAUUUUAUUUGGUGAAUAUAUUGGGAAAUAGGUGUUUAUUUGUACAAUGUUUUCUUUACACUCGAUGUGGUUAAGCAUGAUCUGAGCAAAUUUUCAUCAUGUUGUAGGAUUCUGGAAUUUUAAUCAAAGUAGUGUUGUUGUUGUUAUUUGCUUUAAAUAUAAUGGCAGGAAGGAUGAUCUGAAAUUGGUUUUGGUGAAUUCUCUAAUCGAAUGUUGCUGUAGUUGAAUUAUAUUGUCUGUCUUUUCUUUUCCUUUUCAGUGGGGCGGGGGGGUUGGGGGAAUAGUUGAAUUAAAAUUGUUCAAAUUGCCUACUGGAGUUACUUCCAUCUUCUUCUUGCUCCUGACUACUUGAGUUACUCAAAUUGCUAUUGUAUAUUUUUCAUCAAUUCUUUCAUUGGUAACAUUUUCAUUGAUCAAUGAAAGUACAAUGACAGUAAUAUUGCAGCGCUUGGACUAAUUUCAUUGACUAAAAAAAGGUGCGGUACCCAGGAAUUUGUUCAAACAUUGCUUAAUCUGAGAAUUUCUUAAUGGGGGCUAUUCUGAGCUUGGCUGCUGCAAGGAGUUCAAUAAAUGACUACAAUGAGGUCUCACCGAGUGAAAGCAGCAAGAAACUGAAGAUGUCCUCAUGCUUCCAUGAAGAUAGAUCAAGACUGAUUCCUAGUCUUCCUGAUGAGUUAUCAAUGCAGAUCCUUGCUCGAAUUCCUAGAAUUCACUACUUUAAUCUGAGGCUGGUAUCGCAGAAGUGGAAGGCAACUGUUAUGAGCCCUCAACUAUUUAAAUUGAGAAAAGAACUUGGAAUGACAGAGGAGUGGUUAUAUGUGCUAACUAAAGUUGAAGGGGAAAAACUUCUAUGGCAUGCUUUGGACCCUUUGUCAAGGAAGUGGCAGAGGCUGCCAUCAAUUCCAAAUGUCAUUUUUGAAGAAGAAUCUAGGAAGAGUUUAUGGAACAUUGUGGAAUAUAGAAUUAAAAUUGCUGAAUUUAUAAGAGGCUGGCUUGGGCAUAAGGAUGGAUCAAAUCACAUGCAAUUUUGUGGUUGUGCCAUUGGUGCUGUUGAUGGAAGCCUGUAUGUGCUAGGGGGAUUCUCAAGAGAUUCUACCAUGAGAAACGUCUGGCGAUUCGAUCCACUUCUAAAUGCAUGGACCGAAGUGACUUCCAUGUCAAUAGGUCGGGCCUACUGUAAGACAAGCAUUUUAGAUAAUAAGCUAUAUGUUGUAGGAGGGGUUAGUCUAGGCCGAAGUGGGUUGACUCCUCUUCAAUCUGCUGAAGUUUUUGAUCCCCAUACCGGUACGUGGUCCCAAGUUCCAAGUAUGCCAUGUUCAACAGCUCAUAUGUUACCUAAUGCGUUUUUGGCUGAUAUGCUGAAGCCUAUUGCCACUGGGAUGACUUCAUACAUGGGAAGGUUAUAUGUAGCUCAGAGUUUAUAUUCAUGGCCUUUAUUUCUUGAUGCUGGGGGUGAGAUUUAUGAUCCUGAAACAAAUUCAUGGGCUGAUAUGCCAAGUGGCAUGGGGGAAGGUUGGCCUGCACGGCAGGCAGGUACAAAGUUGAGUGUUGUGGUAGAUGGUGAAUUAUAUGCUUGUGAUCUUUCCAGCCCUUUGAAUAGUAGUAAAAUAAAGGUGUAUGAUCAAAAAGAAGAUGCUUGGAAAGUUGUCAUUGGAAAUGUCCCUAUUAAUGAUUUUUCAAAUUUAGAAUCUCCAUAUUUACUUGCUGGAUUUCAUGGAAGGCUUCAUGUCAUCACGAGAGAUGCCAAUCAUGACAUUGCUGUUCUACAGGCUGAUCCCCAGGAUAAUUUCAGUCCUUUGCCAUCAAACUCAACUUCUCUUUCAGGUGGUUCCUUACAGAAAUUUCCUGAUUCAGUGGCUGAAUCUGAAACAGUAAUCUGGAAGGUUAUUGCCACCAGAGAUUUUGGGUCUGCUGAACUUGUCAGUUGUCAGGUUCUUGACAUUUAGGUAUAUCAAGCAACAUGUUAGAGUGCAAUUCUAAAAUGUUUAUUGCCUGGAAUCUAUAGAAGUGAGUUCAGUGAAUUCAGGUUCAGCAAAUUUUACAGUCUCUAUGAAUUGUUCAAAAUUAUAAAUCUACCCUGUCCAGAAGAUCAUCAUCAAGUUUGUCAAUUGUUCAUGGCUCAUUGUUGGUGAUCUCAUCGGAUGUCCUUAGAAUCUAUGGAUUGGUGAUAUAAACAACGAUCCACAUACCUUUCAAUGUGUAAUAAAAGGUGGCAUUAUAGCAAUUUAAAGGAGAAUAAUAUAAUAUCAGUAAAUCCUCUUUAUUAGGUUUUGAGCAUUUAGUGAUUUAAUUUACAAAUACAAGAUCAUCAUUAAUUGAUUAUUAUCUUUGUAAUGCAUAUUUGUGACACACUUAACAAAAAUGAAAAUCAAAUAAAAGAGUUAUAUAGCAAAGUCUACUGCUUCAUUGCCAAUUGAUUUGAUGUACUUUCUUUGUGAUCUGUUACUUUUGUGGUUUCUAACUUUCUACUCCAGCAGGUGUCCCACUGUUUCCCAAUUGAUUGGUUCCCUGAUUUAGAUCAAACAGUGCAACAAACACCUCUAUGUGUCCUCAAUUUCUUUCUUUUUUUUUCCCACUCAUGAAGCUAACAAAAUAAGCCAUGAUUGUUGUUUAAUCCGUUGAACCUUUUCUUGCUCAUGGUUGCUCUAAAAGUAACCUAAAUUGUUAAUAACUAUUCUGUUUUUGAUUCAUUGAACCACGUUGGAUGUCUCAAAUAAAGGUACUAGUGGGUUCAUGUAUCUUAUCCCAAUUAAAUGUAAUUUGUACUUCAUACUGUUGCUCUUGUUGAUCUUAAACAGAGUGAAGAAUUGUUUAUGGUUAAAAGAAAUAGGUAAUAAGAACUUUUUUUAUAUUUAAUUCAAUUGAUUCAUAUAAUUAUUUUAAAAAAUAAUAUCUAAUAAGUUUAAUAUCAAAUUUUAACACUUGUGAUCUUGUUCCUUAUCUUAUAUUACAUGUUAGAAAUUUAGAAUGGUUGUAGUCUCCCUUAACAUAAUUCCAAUUAUACAAAGUAAUUAAGUAUACUAAUUCCACUAAGACUUACCAAAAGCAUAUCUUUUUCACAGAAUCUUAGCCUGCUCUUAAAAUGCUCCGUGAUGAAAUAUUUACAUUGUACAGUAACCUACACCAAUUAUAUUAAUAACUCUUUCCUACUGUUGAAUCCCCAACGCUAGAACAAGGGCAUUAUAUAAUUAGGAGUUAAAAAUUAUAGUGAUUCUGAAGCAUUAACUUUUUCUUAUUAUAUUAUUCAUUUUUGGAAUCUUUUAUCACUUCUGAUAAUGUUAGCAUUUGUUCUUAUGGUUUCUAAACAACUAAAUCUUUAGUGCUGGAAUGGUGUCAAAUCAGUUAAAAGUGAGCUCCAUUAAUUCUUUCUAGUGGAUUCCCAAUCUAGAAAGACUCGGCAUUUGGGAAAUCAAACGGUUGAAGCAACUUUGAGUCGACUUUCUGUCCUGGAAAACUUUAAUUCCUGGUUGGAACAUGCGGCUGCUACAUAGAAUAUCAGGUUACAGUAAAUUUUUUUACAGAAGCUACUUAAAAUAUACAUGCAGCAGCAAAAUUUUUUACUGAGUGAUAGUUGUUAAGGAGGAAGAACUACGAGCUAUAUUCACUGAUGGAAAAACGAAGGAGAAAUAUCAGGUUACUAAUUUUUUGACUAUCAAUGUUGAAAUUCAGAUUCAGAAGCUCAUGACCUGUGGCGGGUCUACAAUGAACUUUUCCCUAAUUUCAGCCCAGAUCAUGGAUCAUGUGUAACUCUUUUCAUAGUUUGUGUAUAAAAGACAAGAAUUCACUUCUAAUUCCUAGCCAUGCUAUUGUCAUUUUUAAUUGUUUUUUCUUUGGGGGGUGUUGAAUUUUUGUGCCAAGGCUAAAGAAAGAAUCUAGGUCUCAUUCUCUUGAUUAUGCUAGUGAAACAUUAUUAGUGGAAGUAUAUUCUCCUGAUUUUCGUAGUUCCAUCGAGUCUUCUUUUUCUUAGUGGUGGACCUCUAUGCUUUGCAGCUAGCAAAUGUACAACAUUGUCUCAUGUAAUAUCGAUAAUCCUCGUGAUUUCAUUACCAGUUUGUACAUAAUUACAAAUUAUAAUGUUCUUUCUGCUGCUUGUUUGCAAGUUGUUGAUGGUAUGUGAAGUCAUAAACUAAUUUGUCUGGUAAUGGAGAGUAUCAUUAGUCUAUAAGUGCAAGAGUAAUAUGGUUGAAGCUUGAUGGAAUUGCUAGUGGAACUUCCAAAAAAUUGAAAAGCAAUGAUGGUGGGGACAAUUAGCUGGAAAAAUCUGGUGAUGGAAUAAAAACCAACAUGGAAGAUAAAGGAUUUGACAUUGAAUUUCUUCCAUCUAAUUAAUUUGACUGCAAUUUCAUUAUCUUUCCAUUGUUGGGGAGGGGAGGAUUUCUAUCUUGCCAGGAAUCUAAUUACUCAGCCUCUCUCUUGGCAAGUGGCAUCCUGAUCCAGAUCUAGUUAGUUCUGAUGUUAACCUGGAUGGUAGUUUAUUUAUAGAUAAUCUGAAAGGAAGUUGAUUGCUUUCCGGGCUGUGCUUUUGGCUGUUCUGAGCUCUGUCAUUGACAGAUUCAAGCUGAAUUGAUCACAAUUUGGACGGCAUGAUUUGGUCUGACUUGCUGGCCUAGGAAAUUUUCAUUGUUAUUCAUCUUAUUAUUAACAUAAUUGGUGGUUGGCUUUUCAUAACUUUGAUCCACAAAGUGAAGUGAGGGUUGUAGGCGUGGCCAAAGUUCCAAACUGCUCCAAAAGAAUCUGUCAACCAAGCAUCUGCAUAAGUCUUGUCUAGACAUUAAAAGGGUAAAAUAUUGGAUGAACAUCAAAUGGUGUUAGAUUCUCCACCAUGCAACUUUAAUGAUAAUGAUUCUUCAUUCUUAUAUUAUUAGUUUAGCCAUCUGUUUUUUGGAGUAUGAUUCUGUUUCCCUGGAAGAAUCAAAUAUACAGUUGUCUUCGUUACUUUUAUCUUGCCCAUCAAUUGCUGCAGAAUUUGCAUGAAGUUGUUAUGUUCUAGACCUUAAAACCAAGCAGUAAAUCAAAAUGAAUAUUUGUGCCAACCUGAGGUUUCUUAUUCCACUGUUGGUGGUCCUUGUAAGGUAGUCAGAUAAGGCUUGCUGAUAAAUAAUUGCUGAUGCUCUAAUGUCACCAUCAGAAACAGCAAGUUGAUCAAUAUGACAAUAAUAGUUCUUCCAAUAAUAAAAGUUCUAUUGCCCCCAUUACUUUUGUUUGAAUAGUGAAAUUUCUUGAUAGGUUUUACUUUUCAUAAUGGUGGGAAUUUCUGCAAAAAUAUCAGACAUGGGAUGAUUUAAGUCUUAAGAUGAUAAAAAAAUAAAAAAGAGAGAGUGAGAGAUGGAGAAAAGGAAAUUUUCCACUCAUCACUUCCAACUUUGGCUAAGCUGUUAGGUCAACUUCUUAAAGGGAACUCAAGAACUUUUCACAUCUCCAUUCAUUUUCAUGAAACUGUUCAAAUUUUCUGCUGUGCCAUGUUUCUAAAAUGCCCUUCAAUUCAAGAAAUAUGAGUUUUUCUUGUCUUGAACUUGUUACAAGAAAUUGACUUGUUUUAUAUUCCACAAAGUUGCAUGUUAUACAAAAUCUAAUUCUAAUUAAAAAAAUUCAAUAACUAAGUCAAAUUAAUUGAAUUUUAGUUAAAAAUUAAAACAUGUCAUCCCAUUCAAACAGAUGGUUUUUGUAUUCACCAGAUUAAUGAAUAGAUUACAUAUAUUUUCAUUUACUGGAGUAUAACCAAGUGGGGUUAUUUACAGAUGACAAUGUAAAAGUGUCACUUUCUAUAUCAUUAGCUUUUCUGUUAGAUUCAGGUAAAAAUUUCUUUCUACAUCAAGUUGCAAAGGUUUCUCUCCCUCUUCAUUCUCUGACCUGUUAUUCUACAUUUCCAUUCAGUUCCAGCUCUUAGGUUGAUGCCAAACCACUUAAAGUACUGUUUUUUUUUCUUGGAGUUUUAAGUCUCUUCAAUUUUCACGGGAUUAUUGUUUGCAGUGAAUUUUGCAAAAAAAAAGUUAUCUGUUUUGAUGGUUUCUUUUGUAAUGUUGGUUUUACUUUACAAGAAGCAAACUUUCAGUCUUUUGUUUAUUGUUAAACAUCUUCUGCACAGAAAAAGAAAGGCUUUACAGUGAACAGUUAUUUCAAUCUGAUUGAGAAAGAAGCUGCUUUUUUUAGAGAUUAGCAUGAGAGUUUGAGGUGGAAUAUUGGUGAGAAAUUUCAUCUAUGGCUGGAGAAGACUUAGUGGAGCUCAAAUUCAGGCUUGCAGAUGGAAGUGACAUUGGUCCAAGCAAGUAUAGUUCAUCUACAACUGUAGCAUCUCUCAAGGAGAAAAUACUUGCUCAGUGGCCUAAAGGUUAAUUUUUCAUUUUUACCUGCUUAAUUGUAUGCAUAAUGAAUUUUGUGCUUUUUUUAGCCUUUUUCUCAUUACUAUAUCUUGUAUGUAAAGUGUCUUUGUCUUGUUAUUAAUUGUUUCAAAAUCGAAGUUUUCUGUAUCAAGAGUCAAGGUGAUUUUUUUUUUCUUUAUGCCUUCAAAUUAGUUGAGUUCAUGAAGAGUCUUUUGGUUCUUCUACUCUUUUCCAACUGGCAUGAUUUAACUAUAGCUACUGUUCUUCUUAGGUGACAGAUAAUGGGUGAUGGUUCGUUUUUUUCUUUAACCUUUUGUACUCUAGGAUCCCUGCAACAAAAACUCAAAGGCACAUGAAUUUAGACCAAUAACAUACUGAUUUCCUGAAUAACAAAGCAUCACUGAUUUAUUUUGUUGGAUUUAUAUUUGUUCUCUAAAGAGGAAAGUCAGUCUACAAGCUUAUCAGAAACAUUGUUAUUAUUUUCCUGAGGCUGACAAGUUCAAGCACAACCUCACCCUGCCAUUAAAUCAUGCCUUUCGUUACACUUAUUUCACUUCUCAUUUAUUUUCCUUCAGUUUUGCUUCUCUAUAAUGAACACAAGCAAAGUUUAUAGUACAUUGAGGUAGUAUGUUGCUUUUAAUCCUCCUAUACCGAGACUUAUAUCUGAAUUGUUGUGUUGUUUUGUUGUUAUAACAUUGUUCUUUGAUAUACAAUCGGCUUCUGUUUUCAUAUGGAAUACUUUUCUCUGUUUCUCAGACAAAGAAAAUUGCCCAAAGACAAUACAGGAUGUGAAGCUAAUUAAUGCUGGAAAGAUACUUGAAAACAACAGAACACUUGCUGAGUCCAGACUCCCGGUUGGUGAAUGUCCGGGAGGUGUAAUCACAAUGCAUGUCGUUCUGCGUCUUCCUUUGUCAGACAAAAAGAAUGGUAAUCCACAGCCAUUGCAUUUGAUUCCUUACAUAUGGAAGGGAUUUGAGGGCUAAUGCACAUUAUGCAUUUUUAAUCUUGUGCAUAAAUAUAACUGAAUAGGCACAGAUUGAGCUACCUGUAUAAUCAAUGGUAGUUACUAGUAACCAACCAAAUCACCAAUAUUGCAUGCUGCUUUCCAUGUGAACAUUUUCUUAGGAGUAAAUAAUAGUAAUAGUGAACCCGGAACUUAACUUGGUUCAUGGAGUCACCCCUAAGAGGCGUCAUUCAAUAUGUCUAGAGUUCAAAUCCCAACACCUACCUCUCCUUUUCCUAUCCUCAGACUACGACCUCCUUCGUAAUAAAAAAAAUAGUAACAGUCAAAAUAUUCAUCUUUUCUUUCUUCAAUAUAUUUUCAGAAGUUAAUCAUUACAUAAGUAACCUUUGCAACUGAAGCCUAUUCCAUUUCCAUCUCCCCUGCGAGCCAAAAGUUCCACCAAGUUUUUCCAUAUAGGUGAACAAAACAUAGGGUUCCAUGUUUGUUUUCCUAUACUGUCCUUUCUCUCAUUGAAGCUGUAUCCUUGCUCCUGUCUAUUAGCAUGCUAUAGCUAUUAACUCGUCUGGAAAAGUAGGGUUCUGGUGUAUGUUUUUUUGGUACUAUAUUUGCAUUAUGAAGUCCGUUUCAUGUAGUAAGUCUUGUCUAUGAUCAGUAUGUCAUAUCCCUACUUAAGAAGUACUAACUCCCCACAUCUUAUCCACAGAGAAACAACAGAAUGAUUCUCCAAAGAAAAGCAGCUGUUCAUGCACAAUCUUGUAGCUGCCUAAUCAGUUUACUGAUGCUUAUUCUACUGACGCCGGUUACUUCAAGCAUUCCUGUUAUACUUAUUUGUUGAGAUUGCAAUCCUUCAACAUUACACAUGUUUCAGGGUUGAUUACCAAUUCUGGUGGCAGCAGAAAUAUGUAAAAAAAAAAAAAAGGUUGUGCGGUUUGCUUUACUGGAAAAUCUUGCAUUUCCUUUGUUGCUUGUGAAAGAAAGGGCCAAAAACAAAGGAACAGUGUUGAAUUUGAAGCUUAGUUGAUGGACCAAAAAAGAUUAAAAAAAGAAAUUUAAAGAAGAAAUUAUUGAUUUCAUUAUUUUUUAAUUAGACUGCUCUUGAAAAUGUAAAUUCCUUUUUGUCACCUGCAUGAUAGUGGAUGACCACGUGUUUUUGGAAUCAGAAAGACGAGACAAAGUGAAGUGUGGAUGAAGAAAAGAAAACCCAAGGCUGGUGAUGAAGAAAAAUGAAAGCAGAGAUCAAGAGAAAGGUGUGGGACACAAAGGUUGAAUUGAUGCUUCUAGUAAUGAAAUAAAAAUGAUUCUGUCAACCAAAGACAGGAAACUAUAUAUAUAAAUAUAAAUAUAUAUAUAUAUUUUUAACAUUUUGUACCAAACUUGAAAAACUUGAACCCUGCUAUAGCUCAAAUUUCUUGUGAAUUUUGAUAGUUUAAUGACAAGCAUUAACUUAAACCUGUGAAGUGGUCAUUUCUGGGACAUAGCAAACAGGACAUCCAGGGCCAAGUUUGUUCAUUUGGCUCAGGAAUGGUGUCCCCAAGAGAGGCCUAUGAGGAACGAUUCAAGCUUAGGGAUUUCUUGGAUGCCCGAAAUUCUUGAGAGUCUUCAUUCUCUCCUUCAGUCUCUGUAAAUUGAAGGCUUAGCUGAGAGUAUCGCUCAUGCAUCUCUUUUAGUUCAAUUUCUACAGCUCCAUAUCUUCCCUUUAUCUUCAGCAUGUCUUUGAUUAGCUCAUUGAUGUCUCUGAACCUUUUGAACACUGCUUCCUCAUCAUUGUCCUGUUUCAAGAAAGAGCUGGACCAAAAGAGAAUAUUAUGCCAAGUUCUUCGACGUUUCAUUUGCUCAGCUAGAGUUUAAAGUACCCUUUGUCCUAAUUAAUGUCAAUAUCCCCAAACAGCAAUGCAUGAUACAAUUCAAAUUUUCAGCACAAACUCGUUUUACAUAUCAUGAAUCAAUGAGGCUCAAAAAGGGAGAAAUCAAAGCAGUAAAAGGAAAGUCCAGAGGAAAGCACAACCAAUAGAUAUGAACAGUAGUGAAAGAGGAUUGAUAAUUUUGCAGGGAUUCCACCUAUGAGAAUAUAUACCAAGCGAAUGGCUGUGAGAUAUUUCCCAGUCAAUGUUUUAUUUUAGCUCAUUGGAUGCAUUAUACAUGACUGCAAAUGGUUUUCAAAAUUUUUUUUAAGGGGAAAGAAAAAGCAAAUUAAAUGUGAAUGAAGAUGCAUGCUUUGAAUAAGCAUACAGGGACCAGGUAAAGCGCCACCAAACAAGUCCUUGGAUAAUCUUUGUCGUAGAUAAUUUUUUAUAAAUUCAUUAAAUUUCAUAUAAAUAACAAAUUUACUUAGAAUCAAUUAGAAGUUGAGAAAAUAUAAAAACCCUUCAUGAUAAACCCAAAAAAUUGAAUAAAAUCAAUACUAGUAAACAAAACUUUUGCAAGUAUAUACAUUUUCUUCUUGUUUCUAUGUUUCUUUUUUUUGGUACAAAUAAGAAUCAGAAGAGUACAGACUCAUCAGUUUCACCGCCCAAAUGCAAAGCUUUGCCUAAUCUGCCUACUUUAUCAAGCCAAAAGGCCUUUUCUUUGGCCAUAAUAUCAAGCUACAAGGUUAAAGAACCGAAAAAUCAAAUCAAUCAAACAUAAAACAUCCAACUAAGACCAAGCCCAUAAUCAAAAGAAAAAACAAAAAUGGUCCCCAGGACAACUUUUGCCAUCCCAUAUUUGGUAUUUUAAAUAGGUUUUUCUGCAGAAUCAGCAGAAGAAACCUUGGCAGAAUGGGUUUUCCUAGACACCCAGAAGAAACAACCAGCAGCAGGGAUUUUCUUUUCAUCAAAAACCUUAUCAUCGCUCUUUGCCUGUAAUUCCUUCUCCCUUUUCUUCAUUUUCUCCUUAUGUAAAGAUCGCAUCACGUAAGCUUCUGCUAUACCGGUCGUUGCCAUUGCCAAAACUGAUAUAUCAAAACUUGUACUAGAAAAUUUAUUUGAGAUUGGCUAGCCUUGUCUUUGAAAGCACACAAUUUAGGAUGAAAUGAACUGGUUCCUUGAAGGAGCUUUGCUCGGAAAUUUAUAGGCCGCUGUGGGGAAUUAAAAAAGGCGAAACUUCCAUGUAGGGACAGG